AGGAAAUGAAGAUUAAUAUUUUAUCAUAUGUAAAGGACCAAACCAUGGAAAGUUCAGCCAUUGAAGAACAUGGAAGCCACAGUUGUAAUAGCAGCAGCUAAUUAUCAGUUUGAUGUGAUCAUUUUUCAAACUUUUUGUAAUAAUUGAUGAAAACAGCCGCUACUGUAAAUUUCAGCAGAAACUCGAAUUAAUCAUGACAGGGAAACCAUUAAAUUUCUAUAAUAUAUUCAGAAAUGCCCUGAAAAUUCCUCCAAAGUUCCUGCACUGAAGGAUUAGGGAGCUCAGAUUCAUGAGAAAAUUCAAAAAAGUCGUUAGAGGCUUUAUAUCUGGGCAUCCAUAGUCUAAAUUACGGAAAGAUUUCCAGAAAAACAACCACAAAAUGUAAACUCUACCGACUCGGUUUUGUCGUCCCAGAACUGACAAGAAUUGGCAAUAAUGUUUUUGACCUUCUUCAUAGUCUUGGAGCAAAGAUGAAUCAAAGGCACACUGCGAUUGUUCAUAGAAACAGCUAAAGCAACCAUUAGUGUACAAGAAACGAAGAGAUUACAGCCUUCUUUCUUCAAACCCAACUUUAUAUCAAGGAGAAUAAAACUUUUGCAUUAGAUUUCUGAUAUUUCCUUUCAUAAUUUAUACACUUCCAUCAAUUAUCUGAAAUUAAAUGGACCUCGAGUGCCCUUUUGCAGCUAGUUUGGCAAUGUCCAUGAACCAAUUGUUGAAUGGCAGCUCCUGUAUCCCACCAAAAUCAAAUUCUCAUACUUUUGCACCGAGGAAGGACUACAAGAAUGAAAAGAAAGGUCAGCAAAGAAUGCUAUAGGCGAGGUCAUAGAUGCAUAUAUGUAUACAAUUUAUAUAGGUACACAUUAAUGUAAUAUCAUGUAUAUAAUCCAAUUAUAAUUUGUGACAUAAGAGAGAAUGAAAAAAUCAGGUUCAUGCUUGUGUAUUAUUUUCAAUUAUACUCUAAAGUUCUAACCUCUCCGCAUUUUUAUUGCCUUAAUUUAUUGAGUCCACAAGCAAGCCAAAAGAGACUAUCCAUGAUUUGUUUGUUCACAAACAUGGGAUUCUUGAUAAAUGUACUGCUAUUAGGGAAAAUAAUAUUUAAAAUACCGUAGAUUGGAAAAUAAUUCCAAUUCUACGGCACUUUUGAACACAUAAGCUAACACGUAGGAUGAGAAGUGAAAAACCCAUUAUCCCAUUUCCAUUUCCCUUCCCAUUUUUCUUCUCUGCAUCAAAACUCCUUUGCCCGAAAACCCAUUAUCCCGCACGUUGAUCAUGGGGUGGAGAUCCUUGCCUCAAUACCAAUAGGAAGGAAGUGAAGUGCAGAUCUGAGAGACCAUUGCCCCCGGUGUUUUCUGUAAGUUUUGUGGUUAUAUUUGGUGGUGUGGUUAUGUUUGGUCACUGAGAAAGUGUGGGAAAGUUGUAAAAAAAAAUAAAGUUUUCGUUUUUUUUUACAAUGAAGCUGAGUAGACUAAAAAUUAUGGAGAAAGUUUUAUUUUUUUUUGUGGUUCGGCUUGUUGUGAUUUUGUUUGGUUGCCAAAAAAGUGUGGGAAAGUUGAAAAAAAAUAAAUUUCCCAAUAUUUCCUACUAGUCCAGGCCGCGCACAGGAUACAAAAUCUAUCCAAUUUUUUUUUAUAAAAAAACGUAAGAUGCUAUUUGGUAAUCUGAUCAUGAUUUGAGGGGAAAGGUUGUGUUUUUCAGCCUGGCUCAAAAAUCAUGGAUUUAGGGUUUGUGAAAUUUAAAUCCAAUGGCACAAAAGCAAAGAGAUCCCUAGAACAAAUCCAGAAAGCAUGGAGCAAAAAAAAAGCUUUUUUUUUUUUUUUUUUUUGUUUUCCUUGGGGGUUUUACAUGGAUUUUCUCGGAAAUCAAAGGAGGAUGAAUUUUCUCGGAAAGCGAAUGGGGGAUGGAUUUUCUUGGGAAUCAAACGGGGGUUGCAAAAACUUGGGAAUCAUAUGGGGGUUGCAAAAAAUAAAAAAAUAAUAACCUGAUUAGAUUAGUACCUGCAAGAAUUGAAAUUCAAAUUCAAAUCCAAGGAGAUUUAAAUUCAAAUUUAAAUCCAAGGAGAUUCUUCACUAGGCAAAAUGGAUAUACUAACUUUUUAUUUGUUAAAAUUAAAAAUAAAUAAGAAAUAUUUUUAUUUGUUUCAUUGCUCUCAGCUAUUGCAAGAAGGUAUGUUGAUCUUUAGUAGGCAAUCCACAUACAUUAGUUGAAGAAAUAUUUUUAUUUCUAUACGAAUCCUUGGUUGUCGUGUUUAAUAAUUUAUUCAUUCUUGAUCUUUAGUAGGCAAUCCACAUACAUUAGUUGAAGGAAUAAAGUGGUGUGGUUAUUUAUGAUACGGUUUAGAUUUGGAUAAGAUUGAAUUUGUUUUCAUCAUGUUAAAUUGAUAUCCAUACGGAUAUAGUGAAAAUUAGACUAAACUCCACGGUAAACGGAAUCAGUUACAUGUUUGGAUAAAUUUAUCAUAUAUUAAUAAUAUUAAAAACACUAUGAAUAAAAUUAUGAUAUAUUUUUACUAAUUGAAAAUUUUUCAUUCAAUUAUAAAAUAGUUAUAAUUAAUUUGUUAUUUAAAGUGUUUUUUUAAUAUUGUAUUUAUAUCCUAACUUUUGAUAUAUAUAUUUUUAGUGCAUAUCAUAUAUCAUGGGACAAGUUUGUCCUAGUGGAGCUGGGAUGCAUGUUGAACCUUUUGUUGGGGGUUCGAAUCCCCCCAACAGUGGCAAGAAAAAGCUCAAUUUUGUAUGCAUAAAAACUAUAAAUUUUUACUAAUAUUAAUAAUAUGAAAAAUUUUCAUUCAAUUAUAAAAUAGUUAUAAUUAAUUUUUUAUUUAAAGUGUUUUUUUAAUAUUGUAUUUAUAUUCUAACUUUUGAUAUAUAUUUCUUUAGUGCAUAUUACAUGACAUGGGGCAAGUUUGCCCUAGUGGAGCUGGGGAUGCAUGUUGAACCUUUUGUUGGGGGUUCGAGAAUUGGGAUGCAAUAAAUAUCAUGACUGCUAAGCCUCUCACAUCACGUAACGGAUGUGGAACGAAUCUAAUGAGUUGUUUAAAGGAUUGAGAUUUGAGAGUAAAGAAGACUUGCAAUAUGUUGUAAAACGUUAUGCAAUAUGUCAGAAUCAACAUUUGGUGGUUUGUGAAUCAGAACCACAAUUGUGGGCAGUGAGAUGUAAGAAGUGGCAAGAAGGAUGUAAUUGGAGGCUUCAUGCAUGUCGUCGUAAAAGCCAUGGAAUGUUUGAGAUAACCAAGUACGCAGGUCCUCAUACUUGUGUUUAUCCUAAAUUAUCACAAGACCACUCUCAAUUGGACUCUACAUUGAUUGCAAGAAAGAUCCAAAAUAUAGUUCAGAGGGAUCACACUACCUCUAUUGCUACAUUACAUCAGAUAGUGAAGGAUAAAUUUGGAUAUGAUGUCCAUUAUAGGAGAAUUUGUGAAGCUAAGAGAAAAACAAUGCUUAGAGUUUUUGGUGAUUGGGAUGAAUCUUAUCAAGCAUUGCCGAAGUGGAUGAACAUCCUUCAGCCAACUAAUCCUGGAACAAAAAUUGUUUGGAAGCAAUACCUUUAGGAGGGAUUUCUAGGAACGUGCGGUUUAUGUGUGUUUUUUGGGCAUUUGGGGGAAGUGUUGAAGGGUUCAAGCAUUGCAGACCAAUUAUACAAAUUGAUGGUACAUUCCUAUAUGAAAAAUACAUGGGGAAGCUUUUAAUUGCUACUUCAAUUGAUGGAAAUGGUCAUGUAUUCCUCAUUGCGUUUACAAUUGUUGAGGAAGAAUCACAAGAUAGUUGGUCUUGGUUUCUUAUUGCAUUAAGGUGUCACGUCACUCAAAGAGAAGGGAUAUGCUUAAUUUUAGAUCGCCAUGCAGGAAUAAAUGCUGAUGUUAGAAAUCCAUCAGUUGGAUGGAGCCCCCCUCAUGCGCAACAUCGAUAUUGUCUUAGGCAUGUAGUAAGCAAUUUUAAUGACAAAUUUAAGAAUAAGGUCUUAAAAGAGUUGGCGUAUAGAGCUGGAUGUCAACAUCAACCGCGGAAGUAUGAGAGAUACAUGGAGGAGUUAAAACGAUUGGAUGAAAAAAGUGUGGCUUGGUUUUCAAAGUUAGACACUCAAAAAUGGACUCAAGCAUAUGAUCUAGGAUAUUGGUAUAGGUGGAUGACCACAAAUAUUGCUGAGUGCAUUAAUGGGGUGCUUAAGGAGCGCGAAUGUUACCUAUCACUGCACUUGUUCAAUUAACUUUUUAUCGAUGUGUGUCAUACUUUGAGACUCGUAGAGCAGAUAUACGUGCUAGAAUGGUAGUUGGAGAUGUGUACACAGCGUAUGUAAUUGAAAAAUUUAGAAGAGCUGAGGCCAAAGCUAGUGGACACACUGUCACCAUUUUCCAACGAAUUCAUGAAACAUUUGAAGUAAUUACUGCUCUCCAUGGGUUUCAUAUGGAUAAAGGACGUAACAAACAAGUUGUUAAGCUGAAUGAAGGUACAUGUAGUUGUAAUAAGUGGCAAUCAUUUGGCCUUCCAUGCUCACAUGUGCUACCUGUAUCUGCUCAUAUGAGGAUUGAUAGUUGGCAAUUAGUUGAAAAAUACUAUAGGCUGGAUGCCUAUGCCAAUUGUUACGCUCCUGAAUUUAAUCUCAUUCCUCAUUAAUCUUAUUGGCCAUAUCCUCAUUUUCCUAUUCUCCACCCUAACCCAACUUCGAUGAGGGAUAAGGGGUGUCCUAGAUCAUCAAGGACAAGGAAUGAAAUGGAUUUGAAGGAACCAAGCGUUAGGAUUCGAUGUGGCUUAUGCAAACUAGCGGGCCAUAAUCGUCGCAACUGUCCCACAAAAGAUGGAGAGCAAUCCUCCAACCCCCUUCCUCAUGACAAUUAAAGUAUGAAAGAUUAUCCAUUUUGAUAAUAUGAUAUUUUUAUGUAAUGUCUGUAAAUUUGUAAUCAUACUAAUGAUAACAAGAAUUAAUGGUUAUUUGGUAUAUGUAGGUAUCACCGCACGAUGGAGCCGGGACCCUUGGAUCCGACAGUUCUACAUGGACAGGCCACACACAGGUCAUCUAUAGCAUGGACAGGUGUUGACUCUAAGGAACUUCAUUGUAGAUGGCGUGAGGCGAUCUUCCAUCGCACCAGUGUACUCAAUGGGCGUAUUAUUCCAUUGUUGCAGCAGGCAGGCUUCUAUGGUGUUGCACGCUUAGGAUUCAUUUCCUUAGAUUGGCAUCUUAUUACUGCAUUUGUCGAGAGAUGGCAACCUGAGACUCAUACCUUCCACUUACCUUAGGGGGAGUGCACGAUUACACUACAGGAUAUUGCCAUGUUGAUUGGACUACCAGUAGAUGGAGAUGUAGUUACUGGUAGCACAUGUUUAGAUUGGAGGCGUGUAUGUUAUUCUCUAUUAGGACUCACUCCUGGAGAUAUAGACAUAGAUGGCCAGCGCCUUCAUCUUACAUGGUUGAGUCAGAGCUUUCCUACUUUGGCACCAAAUGCUGAUGAGAAGUCUAUUCAACGUUAUACUAGGGCUUAUAUCUUACAAUCUUACAGCUCAUUGGAGGUUUUCUAUUUUCAGGAAAGUCUAGCGAUAAGGCGCAUCUUAUGUUUUUACCCCUUCUAGAGGAUUUUGAGGUUGCUAGUAGGUAUAGUUGAGGUAGUGAAUGUUUAGCCUGGCUUUAUCGACAAUUGUGUCGAGCCUCUCAUAUUGAUACACAUGAUAUAUCUGGCCCACUGAUUUUGCUCCAGUUAUGGGUAUGGAAGAGGUUCCCAUUUAUUGCACCUCAUCGUUACGUAUAGCUCCACAUGAUGACCAACUGCCUCCAACCCCAUUGGCCAUUCGGUAUAUAUUAUAAAAUUAUGAUAAAUUUUACUAUUAUGAGGAUACAUGCAUAAACUUAAAUUCUAUCAUUUUUUAUUUAUUCAACUAUGCUUUGUUGUUUUAAUUUUAUAGGUGGAGAGAUGAGUUUCGGACUACUUCGAUUAGCAUGCACGUCUUAGCUCAGUAUAGGCACCAUCUUGAUCGACUUACAGCAGCUCAGGUGAUAAAAGUGUGAUUCAUUUCUUAUACUUGUUUCUCUAAACAAAUUCUAAACCACUGAUUAUGUCUAACGUUUCUUGGGUACAGAUUAUAUGGCAGCCUUAUGUUGAUGACAUGAAUGUUGGUCUUCUUGAUUAUUGUACUACUGGGAAAGAUAUAUGGUGCACUAUCUCACCUUUGAUAUGUUUCCACAUUAUUGAAUGACAUAGACCUGAUUGAGUAUUGCGGCAGUUUGGAUUUCGUCAAGGGAUUCCUCAACCAUGUGAUAAUGAGUCAAUCUUACACAAAUGUGAUUUGAGAAGUAGACAUGAUGUUGAUUGGACUACUCGACAUGAAGACUACAUUCGACGUUAGAGCUCUAGGCGUGAGCAUAUUGAUAGAGGCGAGAUGGUUAUAGGUUCAUUGGGGUAUCAUGAUCCAUACAUGGUGUGGUAUCGCUCCAUUACUAAUCGGUUUCUUACUCGGAUUGGGUCCUUCCAUGAGCUAUUGGUAAUUUUCAUGUUUUAUCUUUUUAUUAAAGUUUAUUUUAUUUUUAUAAGAAUUUAAUUUAACUCUUAUUUGACUUACAGACUACCAACAUACACCAGAUAUAUUAUAUUGCACCUCCAGAUGAUUUUCGCAUUCGCAGGCUAUGUAUUACUGUAUUAGAGGCCAUACAUGAGAUGGAUCGCUUAAAUGCUCCAUUUAGUGUUGAUGCUACUACACAACUCUAGCCUCCAUCAGGAGAUGUACGACCUACACGACGAGGGCCUCGUACGAGGGAGAUUAGGCAUAUACCAGUUGUUGCCCGAGUGCGACCAUCGACUGACAUUAGUCCACCACCUCAUCAGCAGCCGACAUCAUCCAUUACUCAAUCAGGAGGUGUACGGACUAGAGGGGGAGAGCCUCAUAUGAGGAGUAGUCCACCACCUCAUCAACAGCUGAUACAUCCAUUACUCGAUCAGGAGGUGUACGGACUAGGGGAGGAAGGCCUCAUACGAGGAGUAGUCCACCACCUCAUCAACAGCCGAUAUCAUUCAUUACUCGAUCAGGAGGUGUACAGACUAGAGGUCGAGGGGCUCAUACGAGAGGGAUUAGGCAUACAUCUGUUCUUAGAGAUGCACCAUCGACUGACAUUAGCCUGCCACCUGUUCAGGAGACUCCUAUUACACCUAUGGAGGUGCCAUCCACCCCACCUGUAGUACCACUUGUUGCAUCAUCACCACCAUCGAUAGAGGCUACAUUGGUUCAUGAGGAGGUAGUUCAUAUAGCAAAUGAUGAUCAACAAGGAUAAAAGACUAAUCGUGGUCGAGGACGUGGUCGUGGAGCUCAUGGAGGGUUACAUGUUAGCCCCAUAGAGCCAAUAGUGGAACAUGCACAUCAUAGACGUCCACUACGGAAGAGGAAGGCUCCUUCGUGCGGUACACAUUGAGGAUGUUACUACAUAUGACUUAUAUUUUGGAUACUAUUAGUAUUUUGCAUAUCAUUAUUUUGGACAAAUACUUAAGAUGUAUGUUUUUACUUGUUAUAUUUUGGAUUAACUAACUUUUUAUUAACGUAAGUUCUAUAGUAUUCUAUCUAUUUUGGACUAAUUUUACAUAAAAUAAUAUUGUUACUAUUUUGGAAAGGUGCUGAUUUUGACAUUUGGUUUACUUGUUUUCAUUGGUUUUGGAUUGAAUGUCAAAAUAUUGAUUAUAAUGUAUACAGGUGAUAAACUUUAAACAUUUGGUUGUACAGUAGGUAAUACUAAUUAAGAGAUAGAAUUUUUUUUUCUUUUGUAGAAGGUGUCUCUUCAAGAGACACCUUCAGCAUAAAUUCGAAAUUUUCUACUGUGUAUAGAAAUUGUGGAAAAUGUUUCUUGAAGAGACACUUUCAGUAUAAAGCAAAAUUUUUUAACAAAUAAUGAAAAUUGUGGAAAGUGUCUCUUGAAAAGACACCUUUAGUAUAAUUUUAUUUUUUGGGAAUUGUAGAAUGUCCCUUUUCAAAAUUCGAAAUUUUCACUGAAAAAUAGUGGAAAGUGUCUCUUCAAGAGACACUUUAAGUAUAAACCCAAUUUUUUUAAAAAUUAUGAAAGGUGUCCGAAUAUAAUUUCAUUUUUUUGUAAUUAUGAAAGGUGUCUCUUCAAUAGACACCUUCAGCAUAAAUUCAAAAUUUUCCACUGUUUGAAUGGAAAUUGUGGAAAGUGUUUUUUGAACAAGCACUUUCAGUAUAAACCCAAUAUUUUUAAAAUUGUGGAAGGUAUCAAGAGACACCUUUCACAAUUCCCAAAAAAUGGAAUUAUAUUGAAGGUGUCUCUUGAAGAGACAUCUUCCAUUAUUUAAAAAAAAAAUUGGGUUUAUAUUGAAAGUGUCUCUUGAAGAGACACUUUCCAUAAUUUUCAUACAUUGAAGAGAGACAUCUUUAGCUUUAAAAUCAUUUCCACAAAUUUUAAUAUAUAUUGGAUUUUGUGGAAUUGUGUAAAGUGUCUUUCCAAGAGACACCUUUAGUAUAAAUCUAAUUUUUUGGAAUUCUAGAAGGUGUCUCUUCAAGAGACACCUUUGACACCUUUUGUAUAAAUUAAAUUUUUUAGGAAUUGUAGAAGGUGUCUCUUCAAGAGACAUCUUUAGCUUUAAAAUCAAAUUCAUAAGACAUUCAAAUUUGUCAAAUUGUGGAAAGUGUCUCUUCAAGAGACACCUUUAAUGCAUAUUGGAUUUUUUGCCACGUGGAAAGUGUUUUUUCAAAAGACACCUUUAAUAUAAAUCCAAUUUUCUGGAAUUGUAGAAGGUGUUUCUUGAAGAGACACCUUUAGCUUAAAUUCAAUUCUUUCAUGAUUUUGAAAAUUGUGGAAGACGUUUCUUCAAAAGACACUUUCCAGGUGGCCAAAAUUGCCGUAAAUCUAUCAAUAUUUUCACAACUACCAUUUUUUAAUUAUAAUUUUUUAAAAUUCCCGCAAAAGUUAAAAAAGCCCCAUAAACAUGUCUAUAUUUUCUCAUGUGGGUAUGGGGACACAUGAGAGAAGGUGUUAGAGAGAAUGAUAUACAUUAUGAACCUAAAUCCUAACAACCUAAGAUUUUACGAAAAUUGAUUGUUUAACAUUGUAUCAAAGCAAGUUCAAAACCCUAACUCCUAGUUGCAAAACUAAUUUCAAUUGGACAUUGCCCUUUGCUCAUUUUGUUACUCAAGUUACUUCAAUCUAUCAUUUGGUUAAAUGACUUCUAAUGAUAGUCUACUUAUCGGAAAUCAAACUCAAGACAAUAUUGAGAUCCAUUUGCUAUGAUAAAAUUAAAUGAAUCCAAUAAUCCACUGUAGUCUAAAGUUGUGAAAUAUAUCUUAAGACAAAGGACAUAUUAUAAUUUUUUUUCUGAUGGUAUUGAAUUCAAAAAGUUUGUUGCAGAAGCAACGAUGUGACCAUGGAAGAAGCAAGGUUGAAGAAGACGUCUCUUGUUGGAAGUUGUUUUGAUGUGGAAUCGAAGUCCUUUGAAAUCUUUUUUGAGUAGAUUAAAGGUAAGUCAGUAGGAAGAUUGUUGAGAGAAGUAUGGGUUUUUCCUCUUGGAUCAGAUUUGGGGAGAGGGGUUUUUCUUGGCUCCUUGAGUGGGUGGAAGAUUGCUGUGAAGGGAAGUUCAGGGAGCCUUUUAGAAGGUUGUGGAAUAAAGGGGGAAAGGGCUACAAGUUGGAGCUGCGCUGCAACAAAACUGAAAGGUUUUUGUUGUGCCCAACUGUGUGCGUAGAGGAAAAAAGGUUUUCUUUAGUUCUCCCAAAAGGAAAGGCUCCCCAAGGGGGUUGGAAGAUUCUUGCUACAAGUCUUAGGAGCAUUAGAGUAGUCAUUGUGUCUAGACCUUUGGAGGAGUCAAAGGAGCUGAUCAGAUGUUGGGAGGAAAAGAGAGAUGACAACCUAUCUAAGUUUGCUUCAUUUGCAGAGAUGCUGAAUAGAGAUAAGAGGGAGUUGGGCAAUGAUGUGUGGAUAGAAAGUGAGUCAAAGGAGGUUUUAGUAAUUUGAGGUUCCUUAAGAAGUGCCUGGUAGGGAGGUGAGAUGGUUCUUUAGACCGAUUGCCAGCUCUGGACAUCUGCACUCAUCAAUCUUGGCGUUUGAAAGGGGAUUUGAAGAUGUCUUUGUUAGGUGGCAAUCUCAUUUUAUUUGAGUUUGAAUCUGUUUCUAAGGCUAAAAGAGUUUCGAUUUUGGCGUCUAGCUUGUUUAAGGGAAGAAGUUUGUAGCAUGACUGGUGGGAGCCAGAGGUUGGGUGCUUCAGAGAAGGCGCUUGCGUUAGUGUAGUGUGGGUAAGGGUGAUGGGUGUACCAGUGCAUCUGUAGGGAAAAGAGUUCCUAAAAAAGGGUGGGUUAUGCUUGUGGAGGUUUUAUGCUGAUGGACAUGGAGACAGAGGAAAUGUGUCACUUGAAAUGGGCUAGGUUACUCAUUAAAUCUAGUGGAAGAAAGGUGUCUACUCGAUUAUUGGUUGUGGAAAGAUAUAGUCAUUUUUGUCCACUUGUGGGAAUUUUCGCCACGGUUGUGGAUGUCGGUUUCUAAAAGGAAUUGGAAAAGCCAAAUGAUAGGGAUAACAAGGAGGAAUGUUGUGCACAACUAGGAGAGUGGAGGGGAAAGAAGGGAGGCGUGAUGCGGUAAACUUGCAGGCCAGAGCAUUUGUCUAGCCGGAUUUGGGAGUUGUGUCCGGUCGCAGUGUGCAAGUUUUGGAGGAUCGUAGCAAUCAAAGUUGGUUAAUAAUUUGGGUGGGGCCUUUUUUGGGCCCUCUUGUGGGUCGUUGGGUCGGAGGGCUUUCAUUAACGAGAAUGAUGGUGAGACCCCUUCUUUCUUAGGCCGACCCAAAUCCCCUUUUUUAAGUUUGUGCAAAGGGAAUCGGUAUUGGCUUCAUAAGUCUAGGCCACUUGAAACCCAACCCAUGUCUUUUGAAACAUUGAGUAUUAGUUUCAUUUUAAGGGUUCCUUUCGUUGGCGACACUUAUUCCUCAUUAGAGCUCUUCAACAAUUUUCUUCUAAAGGCAGUAGAGCAAGGGUCGGCAAGGUGGGUUUUGGGGGUGAAUGAAGCCCUUUUGGCUAAAGCAAUAGGCUUCGAAGGUAGGCCCACCCUUUCGACUCCUUUUUCAUCUCCGGUUGGGCCUCUCGUUGUCAUUCAUGGAUCGACAGGUAAGGCAAAGGCGAUGCCUCCCUGGAAACUCUUUUUUCUGGCUCUUGGUCACUUUGAAUGUUGCUCUAAGAUGGAAGGUUGUUAGAUCUUACUGGAAGUGAAGAAAAAGGUCCUUCAGGUACUUGUUGGUGGGUAGGGAUGAGGAUCUCGAAGUCAACAAAACCUUGGAGGCUUGUUGCUUGUCGCAGGGGGAGGAGCUUAGCUCUGCAAGUCUUCCUAGUAAGUUUCCAAAGUUCAGUAGUUUUUUGGGGUUGCAAGUGGUGGGGUUUGAAAAGGAAAUCACUUUUGAGGAAAAUGGAAUCAAGAAAAGGACAUGAGGCUAAAGUCUUAAGGGGAAGUAGGAAAUUUUAGUCUACUUGUCUGGAGAGGGAAAUUUGAAAGCUUGAAUGCUCGGUGAAUUACAAUUGUUCUCUCCUCUCAAUUAGGGGGAAGGGCGGGGAGCAAUAGGGUUUGAGUUCUUUCGCUAUGAGGUCGUUGUUUUCACUUACAACUUGUUUAUUGGUUUUUGGUUACAGAAGGGCUCUCAGAUGGCUUCUUAUCCAUCCAACGUUUUACCUAGGUUUGUAAGGUGUUAGGGUUGGCUGCUAUUAGGUGGUUUUUUUUUUUUGCUCUACCCUUUUCUCUUGCUAGCAUUUAUGUCUUUUUUGUAUACUUUGUGUGUACUUAGUUGUGUAUUUUGCUAGCGCUCUUUAAUAUAUUCUCCUAUAUACCCAUCAAAAGCCAAUAAAUUUUUUCUGAUGAUCUUCCUCCUAGUGAUCCAAAAGACAUGAACAAUGGCAUAAGGAGAAAUCAAUUAUCAUGACCUGAUUAUGGAAUAACAUGAUGGCAUAGGGAGAAAUUAGUAAUCAUGACCUGAUUAUAGAAUAGCAUGAAACCUAGUAUCGAUGUUAUUGGUAUGCUCUUUGACACUGCCAAAUGAAUUUAGGAAAUAUUAUGGGAAAGGUGCUCGUAAGAUAAAAAUAUUUCAAGGAUUUAAGAUAUGCAAGUAUUUAUUCUAGCACACAGAUUUUGUUAGUGAAUAUUAUGGUCAACUACAAGGUAUGUGAGAGAAACUCAACAUGUAUCACUAUCAUCCUAUCAUUAAUGAUAUUGACUGUUACAAAGGCAACAAGAAGAAUUUAGAGUAGUAAAGUUUCUUUCUAGUCUAUGUCUAAGGUAUUCUUGUGCUAAGAGUAAUACCCUCUUUCGUUAACAGUUACCUAUCCUGAGUAGUGUCUACUCUUGCCUUCAACAUGUUAAUCUAGAUUCUUUUGUGGAGUAUUCUUCUAUGGAAAACAAAGAAGUUGCAGCUAUUGUUACUUCAACUAGUCAUGAGAAAGGUGAAUCUACAAAGCAAGUUAGAGGCUGAGAUCUAGAGGGAGGACAUGGUUCAUGUUGAAGAUAUAGAUAUCAUGACCACUAUGGUAAAAUUAUUCAUAUGUCAGAGAAAUGUCAUAUUUAAGUUUGGUCAAACUAUUUAGGCAAAGUCAGGUGGUUUGUGACAAAGUGGAGAACUCUUUCGAGCCCAUGGUUUCCUCCUUUAGUAAUGUUUAUACUCGUAUCAUGCUUACACAAUAAGAGUAUACUUGUCUAGUUUCACACAGAUUGCUAUUUUGGCUCACUAAGGUGCUACAAUUGCUUUAUUUUCUGCUACCUUCCAUUCUCCUUAGAUUAUAAAUUUGAGAGCCUCUUCUCACAUGACUAGUAAAUCUUUUGGUAUUUUUGACCUUUCUAAUUUUUCCAUGCAUUCAUCUGUUAUCCUGACUAAUGGUUCUAAAUCCUAAGUGCUGCGAGAAGGAACUGACUGUCCUGCUUGUAACUUCUCAUUGUCCCCUAUAUCAUAUGUCUUUAACUUUCCUAUGAAUCUUUUAUCUGUAAGCAAAUUAACCAAGUCUCCUAGUUGUUCUGUAAAAUUCUUCCCUUCCUAUUCUGUACUUCAGGAUCUUUCCACGAAGAAGGCAAUUGGUGGAGGGCGUAAAGCUAAUGAAGUUUAUCACCUUAUUGGCCCACCUCUUGCUCCAAUUGCUCUACAUACUUCUAUUUCUUCCACCUAAUGAUUGUAUUGAUUGGAUCACACUCCACGUAGCAUUCUUUAACUUAUGAGAUUUCUAGUUAUAUCAAAAUCCUAGUUGCAGUGUCAUACCUAUGAGUUAGGCAAACAUCAUAGGUCUACUUUUCAUGCUAGAGUCAACAAGAGGAGUUCUAGUCCUCUUUCAUCUUGUUCAUUCAGACAUUUAGGGUCCAUGUCAUGCUCCUAAUGUUUUAAGAUUUAAGGAUCCCCUAAGUUUUGUUAAUAAUUAUUCAAGAGUCAUUUAGUUAUUUUUCUUAAAAGAUAGACCAGAACUUGGUUUUUUAGUUCAGUCUUUGUUUCAUGAAAUAAAAACUCAGUUUGGCAUGUUGUAGACCCUCAAUUUUACCCCUUUAGCACAUGUCUUUAAGUUCACUUCCAGUGCUCCACAAUAGUUCCUUGGUGGCCCAUUACUACUCAUACUAUUUACUUUUUUUUUAGCCACCUCGGAGACUCUGGUUGAGGGAUUUAUCUAACCCCAUUGUGAUUCUUGGUAACCCUAAUUUAUACUUAGGUUUUUUCCUUCCUUUUUAAGAUAGCUUUUAGGUGCACUUUUAGGAUUGCACACUUAGGCAUGUUUAGGUCACUUAGACCCACUUAAGCACACUUGGCUCAUUAGGCACUUUUAGACUCACUUUUUUAUAUGACUUGCAUGAUUGCAUGACCUGCAUGACUUAUGUGGCUUAUGUGGUUUUCUUCAUCAUUUUCAUUUCAUUUUAUUUUAUAUUAUUAUUAUUAUUAUUUUAUUUCAUUAUAAGUUUUCUAAAUCAUAUUUCUUGGCUUUUUGGGCAUGAGGAAACGGGCUGCCGUCUAUUUUGGAAGGAGGAUUACCAGAAUUUUGGAGAAAGGAAAGUGGCAGAUUUUUUUGGUAAGAGAAAAGAAAGUUUCCUUUUGAAAAAAAAACAGAGAUAGAAUAAAAAGGAAAGAUUAGAGGGAAUAAACAGAAGGAGGUUUUUGGAAAAGGGGGGACUGGCAGCACGCAUGGGGCAGGGGAGAGAAGGAGAAAAGAACGAUCAAUAGGAAUCAUGGAGAAGAGAAAAUGAGUAGCCCAUGCACCAAAGAGGGGAACACCACAUCCUUUACGAACAUGCUACAAAUUUGAAAGGGGAAUUCCUCUCCAACAUAAACGGUUUAAUGAGAUUGGAGGAACAACACGCACUCCCAUUGAUAACAUGAAUAUGCACCAUUACGGGUAGCAGACAUGAUCAGCGCACGCCAGGAGGAAACUGGGCAGAAAAGUGAGAAUCAGAGGAGCAUUUUUUGGGUAUGGCUGCUCUGCGCUCUCUGUUUUCUUGAUCAUCGUAUAAUUCUUCAUAUUUUCUUGUUAUUUAUGGGCAUCGCGUCUUUGCUUUAGGUAUGGAUAUCUGGUUGUAUGUUUGUUUUUAAUUAAGUUCUAGGCUGAUCAUAGAUUUUAAUAUUGUUGAUUUAUUUGUCCUUAUAGCCCUAUUUGUGGGUAACUUGGUUUGCUCUAAUGUUGCUAUAUAUCAUAAGCCUUGCUACUGGUGCUUUUUUCCUUUAAUUAUAUUUUGAUGUCCCACUUGAUUUUGAAGUCCAUUUAAAGAGCAUGAAAUGUGACUUAUUCUGAUUACCCACCCAUUGUCUUCCUUUCCCCUGUUUUUUUUCUUUCUUUCUUGGUUUCUUUUUCUAUGCUUCUGUAUCUACGUUUCUUCCUCUUCUUUGCUUUGGUGUUCUCGGCUAUGGAGACAAUGAGUAUUCCAAGAAAGGUGGAAACUUUAUAAAGGCUGUGUACAGUGGGGGUUGCUUGGGGUUAGAUGGGUGCAGAGGUUGCCACUGUUUCUAGGAGCUCUUCGUGAAUUUCUGAAUUGGAUGUUGGUAGAUUUAAACUAUGAAGAUAUCUCUGGUAAUUAUGUUACUUGCAUGAUUGAUGAAAGAAUCUACUUUUUUGGGUUUCGUGUCAUGAAAAGAGCAUGGGGUCAUCUCCGCACUAGAAAGUUUCUCACCGAGUGUUUGCAGCAAGGGAUCAAAUCAUGGUUCUUGCUCCUGGUGGGAUCUGGAAUAUUUUGAGUAAUGAAAUGGUUGAGACUGGGUUGAUACUAAACCUGGCAGUUUAUAUUUCCACUUCAAACCUGUCUUUAAUGAAGGAUGGAAGCGUGAUAUCACCAAGAAUGGUCCUAAAGCUAUUAGGUCACUGGACGAUAAGAAAGAGGCUUGGGUAUCCACUCAGGAGUGAUUCUCCAUUUGGUUCUUCUGUGCCUAAUACUACAACAGAUUCAUAGUUAAAUUACAGAGGAAUUAGAAAAGUUGAAGUGAAUAAAGCGAGGGGCUCUGACAAUGGUAUACUUAUAGGGAUGGGGCACUUCUACAAUAGGGAAGGCUACUGUUUUUAGUUGGUAUAGCUCGACAUAAGAGUGAUUACAACAAUAUUUUACUAGUCCUUGUUUAUAAUAAUGGUAAUCAGAAAAUCAUUCCAAUGGGUGCUUACUUUAAUAAGGCAACGUCUAGUUUUGGCUCGAUAAGUUCUAUCUUCAACUAGGAGACUGCCAGUUCUAUAUCAAGGGGUCACAUCCAUCACGCAGUGGAUGGGAGCGUGUCAUCCAUUUCAGUCUGUCGUAUUAACCCCAAGCUUUCUGGCUUUAGUAUUGUUUUCUAGGAAAAGUUUCCUGCAGCAAGCCCCUCAAUCAUGGCAUAACAGAGAGAGAUGGCAUUUCUAAAGUAAUCUCAAUGUCCUCCCAGUAGCCCACACCAGGAAGCUAAAGGUCUUAAUGAUGAAGAUGAUCUCUCAAAGGACAACAGAGAAGGACUUGAUAAUACAUUUGAAAUGGAUUCUCACCUGGAACUGGAUAUAUAUGGUGAUUUUGAGUAUGAUUUGGAAGAAUAAUUUUGACAAGGAAUUUGAAGAUAUUGAGGAGUGCCCCACCUGUAACAGUGUGAACCACACCGCAAAUCAUAGCCUUCCUCGCCUUGUUCUCAAGGCGUGCAAACACAAGUUCCAUUCAGCCAACCUGUGCAAGUGGUCCUCCACUUCUCAUAAAUCAACUUGCCAAUCGUGCCAGGCUCCAUUCUGACCUGAAUUGUUCAAGCAAUGAUGCUUCAAUGGAUAUAACAUUCCUUUCACGGGAAGGGAUAUGGGUUGAUGGAGUUAAAUGAGUCACAGUAUAAACUCAUGGCCUAAGCUUUGGUUGGAUUUAAACCUUCUUUGGGUGUAUAUGAAAGUUGUUGAAUAAUCAACCAUAUGAAAACAGAUACACUGAAUGGGGCCUUUCAUAUUACCUACUGGUGUUUGUGACAUUAAUUUCAGGCUUAAUGAGUUCAUGAAAUAGGAGUUCGUGAAGAAGAAAUGUGCUUCCUUCCAAUGUCAACUUGCCUCCAGGCUAUUAUAUGCCUUGAAGAGAAGUUUCUGGAUUAAAGACUUAGAGCUGAAACAAGAGGAAUGUUGGAUAGAGAGGCUUCUAAGAUGGCAUCUGAUUCUUUCAUGGAGUAUGUGUUAGCCCAAAAACGAGAGAUAAUUUAAAUUAGUGGCAUUCUUGAUAUGAACAGGAAUGAUUGGAUUUCGCUGCCAAAGACCGAAUUUUAGAGUUACGAGCCCUAGUUUGAUUAUUUAAGGAGCUUGGAAAUUGAAGAGAAGAUCAGCAAAGUAAGGUGGUGUACAACACCCAGUGGAUCGCUAUUUAUUCUUUCAACAAACGAGACAUUAAACCUGUGGGACCUGGAAAUCAAUGAUCAAUGUUUUAAUAUCAUGAAACCAUCAAACAGGGAGGAUCUUACUGAGGUGAUAACAGCGGUUGAGUUCCAUUCGAUUCACUAUAAUCUGCUGGCAUAUAACAGCUCAAGAGGUUCUAUUCAGCUAGUUGACUUGAGGCAAUCAACAAUAUGUGAUCACAAAGCAAGGAUAUUACAACAUGGAGAGUCCAGUGGGCUUAAAUCUUUUUGACAGAAAUUCUCAUCUAUCUUGGACUUUAAGCUAGCGUCUGAUGAAAAGCAUCAGAAUUUUCACCCUAUUCUAUGAUAGAUGCACGCAUGGCAGUAUGCUCGAGAUCAUUGUAGGCCUUUAUCUGAGAAGAAACAGAAUGGAGGAACCAGCGGAGAGAGGAAAACAAGCAAACAAGGAGAGGAGUGGGGUUUCUCAAGAUGCUCAGUCAUACAACAGAAUUGAUAGCAAGGAAAUCCAAUAUGAAAAACCUAAUUGUAGAACUGCAUUUAGUUUUGCUGCAGGAAAUUUUAACAAUGCUUCAGAUUAUACCAAUGGUUUGAAUCUUAAUCACCUUAAUGGUGAAACUGAAGCUCAAUUCAAGCACAUGGGAGUGGAAAUUCAUUCUGAAUAUGCUUCAAACAGCAUGGUCACAGAGAACUCAGACAAAGGUUCAGGAAGUUAUGGGCCUGCAAUUGAAAAGAGUACAAGGAACCUAGUUACAGGAGGAAAAUAUUCAUGUGCAUCUAUGACAAUAUCUUUCAGAGAUGCCGAUAUAUCUUCACACGAUGUCAAUCAUACAGAGUCCAGCAUCUGUCAAAUUCCUGAUGUUGUAUAUGAAACCACUGAGGAUUAUUCAGCUGUGCAGUAUUGUAUCAGUGCAGACGGUUCACCUUUUUUUAUCCUUCAAGUCAACAUGUGCCUGAUUAUUUUGAUCUUCAAUUUAUGCCAAACAAUGAACAAAUGCUGAUCAGCAUGAAAGAUGAAAAUGAGGAGCUUUCAGUUGAGGAUAUAUGCUUAAACAGUAAGAUGAAUUUAUCUCAAGUUGCAAACUUUUGAACUUAGUAAUCAGAUAACCUUAGCUGCAGCUGGGAGAUACUUGAGCUAAACAGAGAGACAAGUUCAACUUGCAUUCGGAUGUAAUAAAGAUCUUACAGGAUUCACAGAGUGCACAAGAAAUACAGUCCUCAACCCAAGUUUCACAUGAGUCCCAAAGUGACCACCAGAACAACACAAUAGAGGCUCCCGUGGCAGACUCAGAUUCAAUAUGCAUUUCAAGCAAUGAUAGCAGGAAAGUUUUGCGUGAAGAUAUUGAACUUGUCCAGAAUUUGAUAGAACGGUGCCUACGACUGUACAUGAACAGGGAUGAAGUGGUGAGAGCUAAUUGGGAACUUUAUUGAAGAAAAAUACUUUGGAUAACUUAAGAUGGAAAUAGGUCUGUGGAAAGGAUGGAAUCUUAGCAAGAACGCUCAAGGCACGUGUUGAGAUGAAGCAUAUGAUGAGGGAAUUUCUUUGUGUUUCUUCAUGGGCAUUGAAGAUGGAUACCAAUUUUGGUGCCAUCAACGAGAGGGAAUGCACUGUAUGCCUCUUUGAUUUGCACCCGUCAGCAGCAGGUUGUCACUGUUCUCCGGAUAGCUAUGCAUGCCUAAAUCACGCAAAACAGUUGUGUUCUUGUGCUUGAAAUACCAUUUUUUUUUUUCCUCUUUUGUUAUGACAUCAGUGAAUAAAAUAUCCUUGUUGAAGCUUUGGAAGGAAAAUUAAGUGCAGUUUAUAGAUGGGCAAGACUAGACCUUAGUCUGGCUUUGAGUUCUUGCAUUUCCAAAGACGAUUUGUAAAUUCCUAGGCUUAUUGAUAAAUUAUCUUAGUCCUCAGAAAGAAUAGUACUGAAUGGGCAGAAUUCUAAACCUGUAUAAUCCUACAAAAGAUGGGAGCAGAAAAUGUUUGAGCAAAUCUAAAUAGCAAAGGGUAAACAAGAGGAUGAUGGAGUUUGGUAUCCUCUAGGCAGCCACUUUCGAAAGUCCAGCAAUGUAGGAUCCAUCAGAAAGUCUCUAGCUUACUGCCCCUUCACCUUCACACACACGAAGAAGUUGCUGAAUCUUAUUGAUUGAGGGUAAAUUUCUGAUUCUGGGCAAUUCGAUAUGCCUGGAGAAUGAGAAGUUAUUCGGGAAACUGAACAUCUGAAAAUCAAUUAAGACACGAGCACUCAGUUGAAGAAAAUUAUCUGUGAGCAAGUUGACGAUAGAAGCAUAACUCAGAUGUUAAUGUAAGAGAAAUUGCUUAUGCACAUUUCCAAAUAAGAUGAUAAGCUGAAAUCACUUUUCCGCUAGCAUUUUCUCUCUUCUGCCAUCGUGAGGCACUGUUAGAAUGAUGACAGUGGUUCUACUUUCUCCAAUGUAGUAAACUCAAACGACCUCAUAUCAUUCUCUGAACCUGAAUUAGAAGAAAUGCUGGAAGACAUCAGUCGAAGUACACCAAGUUCUGGCUCGGGUUGUGAAGACAGUAGCAUGAAAACAGAAACUUUAGGAAGAGAUGGCAGUGAAAUUCAUUUCUCUACAGUUGUUUUGAGUGAAUCUUAAAUCUGGAUUUCAAAACCUUUUUCCAUUAAAUAACUUUUCUUUUCUUUAAAAUCUCAUCCUUAAGGCUAUGUUUGGUUCCCGGAAAAUUUGAGGGAAAAUGCGAGGGAAAGAAAAUGCAAAGGAAAAGUAGAAGGAAAGAAAAAGUGAAGGAAAAUAAAAAAAAUAGAUUAAAAGUUGAUAAAUUAUUUUUUUUGUUACUUCAAACUCAUUUUAUUUAUUUUAACUCAUCAAUAUAAAGAUUAAAUAAUUUAAAAAUAUAUAAGUUUUUAAUUAGUUUUAAUUAUAUUUGAUUUUCUUUGAUAUUUUUCAUAGGACAACCAAACAUGAGAAAAUCAUUUUCCUUAGCAUUUUUUUUCUUUCCUUUGUACUUUCCGGGAACCAAACAUAGCCUAAGAGUUUCUAGGCAUAAAAUCUAGAUUUUUAAUAAACUCUUUGCUAUCAUUUCCCUUCCAGCAUGCCUUUUCAUCAUUUUCAACUAAUUUUCACGAUUUUUCUCGUUUUUUUCAACAAAUAUGAAUAAACUUCAUGAUUCCAAAUAAUGGAAUUCAUAGAAUCAACUCAUGCAAAAUUCAUUAGGGCUUUGGUGGGGGCCCGACAUCCAUGAAAUUUUCUUCAAUAUAGCUUGUUUGAUAUUUGGUUGAUUGUGUUUCCUCUUUGUGGCAUAUAUGAGAUUAUUUUACACAUGUUAUUGAGCUAACCUUGUUUUCUAUUCUAGUGCUAAGCUCAUUGUCCAGGUACGCUCUCCAUGACCCCAUCCUCAAAAUUCCACGAAUAUCCAUGUCUUUGUGUACUAUGCCCUUGUUUGGUGUCAUGCUUGAAUGUCUUGAUAUAUGUUUCAUUGUUCGAUUAUCUAUGAUAAAAUGCAUGUUGGGUGAUAUAUUAUCUAAACUAACCAUUGAUGUUUUAUGAUAGCGCUUAAGAAGUGGUUCAGGUAUGCCCCCUAACUCUCCUUUAUUGUGAUUUGAUCCUGUUUGGCAUGUUAUUUUUUGUAAUCACCUUAGUCAACCUAGGUAUCCUUAGUUAAUCAAUUAACUGCCACAUCUCUCUCAACUUAGUCAAUAGAGACCUUUGUAAUACUUAGAGGAGUGCUACCUCCUAGAGGUACCUUCCCAAUAAGUAACCCGAUCCCUGGACUUAGACUCGGGUUUUUCAAAGACACGUUUUUCCAAAAAUUAUGGAGUCAUUUUUUUAGGGUUUUAUUUCUUGUUUUAUUUUCCCUUUAAAAUAAAAAUAAAAUAAGUGGCGACUCUGACUUUUCCAAAAAUUAAUUUUUCACCAAAUAAAAGCAAGUCUCGCCGAUUGAGUGGAGGCGCACGUGAAAAAUGCGGGUCCACACAUGCCUAUUAAAACAUUUUGUUUUGAUAAUCCUUUUGAGGUCUUAUAUUUUUCUGUUUCCAAUUUUUCUGAGAAUAAUGGGAUUAUUUACCAGACAUCUUUCUAUGACACUCCAUAGCAAAAUGGAACGGCAAAGAGAAGAAAUAGACACCUUUUGAAAGUUGCCCUUUUACUGUUUUUUCAUAUGCAAGUUCCAAAAAGAUUUUGGGGCAAUGUUGUCCUUACUGCUUGUUUUCUCAUUAAUCCUCUUCCAUCCAAUGCCCUUAAUAAUCAAUCACCAUUUUGCUAUUUUAUAUCUAUAUCUUUCUUUGUUUUUUGUUUUUUAUUUAUUUUUAUUUUGUUUUUGGUUUUUGUUUUUUGUUUCUUUUCCUUCCUUUUCUUCAUGAAUAUUUGCAUGUGUUGCUUUAUGCAUUAUGUGGCUACAAGUUCAAAUACGCUCUCUUUGGACCACAAAGUGCAUCUUCCUUGGGUAUUCCAAACUUAAAAAAUGAUACAAAUGUUUUGAUCCCACUUUAGGAAUAUACUUAAUUAGUGCAAAUGCAACAAUUUUUUUAGUGUCCCUUGUUUUUUCUUUUAGAGGGUUGACUCCUGAUAUACAACUCUUGUUUUCACCUUCAAAUCCUCCUCUUUUCAUUAUUCCUCUACCUAAAUUGGUUAUGUCAUCAACUCCCACUGUUCACGUGUCUAAGAAACUUUUGAAGCCUAUACAAGAAGGAAAGUGGCCACGAUUAAGAUUACUUCGCUAGUGGAGCAACCCACCAUUACAAUAGAGGUUUAUCUCCUAUAACUAAUCCGUUGACUUAAUUUGAUCCAUCUCCUCGCCAUUGCUCUUUGAACAAGUAAUAGAACUGCUAGUCAAUAUACUUUUUUUAUUUUUUUAUUUAUUUUUUAUUAGAAACAAAAUAGAUGUAUUAAUGGAGAAAAGAAAUAUGAGAAGGAAAUCCUUCCCAUGAAGUACAAGUGUGAUCAAAAGAACUAAAUAAACCUCCACUAACCAAGGAAGGUUAUAAAAAAUGUACAAAAGGCCGCUUGAUCAAAAUAACUAAGUAAACCUCCACUAAACCAAGGAGGGCUAUACAAAAGGAACAAAAGGCCUAUACAAGCAAAAGAAUCUUGACCCUAUAAACCCAACCCUAAGGUGUACAUAACGGAAGCCAUCCAAGCCGGAUUACACUCAGAAAGAAACAUAAAAAUAAAGUUGAUCCCACAUCAUCUCUGGCAUCUGCCAAAUGUCCUUAAAAACCCUAGCAUUUUUCUCUCUCCACACAAUCCACAACAGAGAGAGACAUGUGAUCCUCCAAAGGGUCUUACCUCUAAUAGAAUUCCCAAAACACUUGAGGAAAUCACCAACAUAUCACAAAUACUACUAAGCUGAACCCACUCCAUCCCAGACCUUGAUUUUUCCCAUUUUUCUUGUCUUUUCUCAAUCUUUUAUUUUGUCUUUAUCGACUAUUGUCAUUCUUAAGACUUAUCAGGGGCCUCUCUCUCAUCAUGGUUGGAAAGUUGCUAUAAAAAGGGGAGAUGACUACUUCAUGUAAUUGUGGCACAUGGGAUUUAACUACUUUAAAAUAAGGGAAAAAAAUUGUUGGUUGCAGGUGGAUUUUUGCUGUUAAACACCAUGUAAAUGAUGCCAUUGAAAGGUUAAAAGCACAACUACUUUGAAACUUUUUCACCGGUGGCUAGACUCAAUUCAAUAUGCUUGUUAAUUUCGUUGGUUAUUCAUUUUUAUUGGAAUUUAUCCUAACUUAAUGUCAAAAUUGCAUUUUUAUACAAUGAUAUACAAGAAAUCAUUUUUUCCCCCUUUUGAUGGCCAAAUGAGAUUAUAUUAAAAGUUCCAAACAAAAAAGGGGCGCACACCUAGAAUACAAGAAGUAUAUAUCUAAAAGGCAAAAAGAAACAACAAACAAGCACAACCACAUUCUAAUUACUUUGAACACAACCGCCUAGGCUUGUUGCUCAAGUGGAGUUAAGAAAGGUGUGUAAGUUGAAGAAAGUCAUAUAUGUGCUGAAACACUCCCCUUGGGCAUCUUUAGAUAAGCUUUGUAGAGUACUAGUCUCUCUUGGCUUUUCUAGAUGCCAUUAAGAUCAUCUAAUCUUUGUGAAAAAUACAAUUAAGUACAUUGGUUCUAAUUAUUCAUGUUGACGGUAUACUCAUGUAUGGCAAUACUUUGAGUGUGAUUGAAGAGUUAAAAACACAGUUGAAUAAUACAUUUUAAACUAAAAACCUGGGUUGCUUAGAUAUUUAUUGGGCAUUGAAGUUGCUCUUAUUGGUUUUGUCUCAAAAGAAAAUAUAUGUAAGAUUUAUUAAGACUAGUAUGCUAUGAUCUAAACCUAUAAAUACACCUAUGAAUCCUAAUAUGACAAGGUAGCUUGUGUAGAUUAUGUUGAUACAAGAAGAAUAGAUGUCGCAUUGGAAAACUCAAGUAUUAGACUAUGACUUAUCCUAAUAUUACCUUUGUUAUAGGUUAUCAGUCAAUAUAAGGAGAGUCCUCAAGAAGUGCAUUGGGAUGCCUUUAGUUGCAUUCUUAGAUAUCUAAAAGGGAUAGUUUGAAUGGGUAUUUUAUAUAAGAAGAGCACUAAACUUAACAUUUUCAAUUAUUCAUCUGUUGAUUAGGUUGGUUCUAAAUCUAACAAGCAAUCUACUAGUGGGUAUUGGUAUUGUACUUUUGUGGAAGGGUAUAUGAUAACAUGGAAAAGCAAGAAGCAAAAUGUUGUGGCCAAAUAUAGCACUAAGGCUGAGGCAGAGUAUCAUGCUAUGGCCCGUGCUGCUUGUAAGCUCAUGUGAAUAAAAAACCUUAUCAAGGAAUUCUAUGUUGAAACUAAGAAGCCUACGAUUAUGUUUUGUGAUAAUCAAGUCGCUAAAAGUAUUGCAAGUAAUCUUAUGUUUCAUGAGCACACUAAACAUAUUAAGGCGGAUUGUCAUUUCAUUUGGAAAGUAAUGAUGAUAAGUUAUGUGAUCACUUCUUAUGUUAGAAGAGAAAACCAACUUGGAGACAUAUUUACCAAGGUCAUUUUCCAAAAAUCUGUUUUUAUAUAUCUGUUCCAAGCCUGGAAUUGAAUAUUUCUUUACUCCAUCUUGAGGGGGAGUGUAAAAGAUUAUUUGAGUGUCUAUUAUUGUAUUUUGAGUGUCAGGAUUAUUAUAGGGCUGUUUUAUUUUAUUAUUUUCUAAUUAAUAAAAAAAAAAAAGGGAGAGGCACAUUACUUCACUCAUUUCUUGUUCUUUAACAACACUAAUGCAAAAAACUCUUGCAGAUUAGUUACAUUGUCAAGGCUUCCAUCUCCCAUUGUUUCAUCCUUAUCAUUUAUUUUCCUUAUGGAUUGCAAAGACAUGUAUAUUAUGCACACACCCCUGUAGACAAGAACAUCCAUAAUCAGCCACAUUAAAGUCCUUUUCCAAUCAAUUUUCCGCACACAAAACCAUGAUGGCAAAUUAAGAGUUCAGGAGUGCAACCAGAGAAUAUACUCAAUCAAUAUUCUGAAAAGUUCAAGAAUGAAAUUUUGGUGGGGGAAGUUUCCUUACAUGUUUGAAUUUAUAAAGGACAACAGUAAGUUAUUUGGAAUAAUAAAGUAGUUUCACAAAUAAAUCCAGAACCAUUUGAAUAGCUAAAUGAGAUUUCAUUUAGCCAAUUGCAGGCAUGUGCCAAACUAUCACCCAGAAAAACUAGAGAGCUCAAAAACACAUGGCUAUCCCUAUGCUAGGUUAUUAGCCAGAAAAAAACAAAAAAUUAACAAUAUUUAUCGACAUUACAAACUCAUUUUAUGGAAUAAAAAAUAACAAAAGAUACCAAUUUCAUUUCUUGAGUUCAAUGCAGUUAAGAAAAAUUAUAUAAUGGUACAAUAAGAAGGAAAAUACACUACUCUGUAAAUAUUAAAUUUUAAACAAACAGAAAAAUCACUUAAAUAAAUCCAAGAAAUAGAAAUAGAGCUAAGAAGGUAAUGGCAUCCUUAAAAAGUGUGCCUUGAUAUGAGCAUAAUAACAAACAACAAAACCACUUGAAUAAAACCUUGAAGAACAAGGGAUUGAAAGAAGGGAAUCAAAUCCCGUAGGUUUAAAGCUACAUUCAAAGAAUCAGUGUUAAGACAAUUAGUAUGAGCUCCCAUCUUCAUAAUGAUACUGGAAUUUUGUGGGAAGGACAUUUCAUCCUUCUCUUGAACUAUACUAUUAUCAAUAUAUAUUUUGUUUAUGAUAAAAAUAAAUAAAUAAGGAUACUGGUGACUCAUGCCCAAUUGGUGUCUCAGCUGAUUUGUGUUCAGCUGGUGCUCCUUGAUUGAGGAAGUGAUCAACAAAAUUUAUACCUAUAACACCAUACACUAGGGUAGCAAAUACAAAGCUACUAUAGUAUAGUGGCUCUAAGGAUCGUUCACUGGGAAUGAUUUGCAAGCAAUCAAGGAUACCAAUUCCAAGUGAAUUGGUUUUGUUUCAUUUCACGGUUAGUUUAAGAAAUAAAACACAAACUUUGAUUGGUAAAGGUUGAGACUUAAACUAACUAACUUAACAGAAGUUUGGAAUAAUUUAGGAAGAAAAGCAUUCCUUGGAGAUUUAGGUUCACUGGGGUGGUUCCUCAUGCAAAAGACAUAGCUCCGGUCAGAUGGUUCAUUUCCUCGCAUUAGAGAUUCAACUUAUAGUCAAUUCUCUAACCGGUGAUGUACAGAGACUCCUUCAAUUAGAUUUCACUUUAAUUCUCUCACUGAUACAACUUGCAAUGGUUCAUGCCUCUCACGAGCACUUACCAUUCAAGGUGAUCUUUAACCUUGGACUUCCCUUCACAAACUCGCAAGAGAUAACUAAUGGAUGUCUCCUAGGAGUCCAAAAGCUUACCAAGUGUUGGUAAUUCCAGAAAAUCCUACCUUGAAGUCACCUACCAGAGGCUCGCAAGGGGUAAACUAGUGCAUUUCCACGGUUGGAAAUCACUUGCCUUACCAAGUGUUGGCCCAGGUGACUCUAAGAUGUUUUAAGUUAACUAAAAACAUUGAAAUCACUGAAGGAUUUCACUUCCUCUUCAUUAAAAACUAAAACCACGGAGCUUUGCAUUCUUGCACUUGGAACCUUCCCCGGCAACCUUAGCUCCAAGGAAUUGGAGGUUUAGUUACUCAUUCUCUGGGGAAAACUCCUCAGAGAAUUCAUAACUUAGAAAUAAAAUGAAAAUACAAAGUGAGAAGGUAAGGCAGUAGAAAGAAAAGACCUUUUACUUACUUCCCAAAAUGUUUACAGAAGGAACUCCUCUCUGAGAACAUGCUCUCGAGAGGUAUUUAUAUUAAAGCAAUAUAAAACUAAUUCUUACACUGAUAUUUGGUCUUUUUACUAACUUAAAAACUAAGGAAUCAUGUAAUUGGUGGUUUACAAGGAGUAUUUUGGGAUUUAGACAACAAAAAAUCUAAUGGAAAAUAUCUCCCAAUGUCGGUAGCAAGCUUCGGGAGGCUUCAGGAGCCAUUUCGCAGGAGAAAAGUGGUGCCUGCGAAAUUUCGCAGACACCCAAGAGGGCUGCGAAAUUAUUUCGCAAGACCAAGCUAUCUUCACCAGGCUGCAAAGUUGGCUUCCAUCUUGAAGUUUCCAGCUCCCUUCUCGCGGCAUGGUUCGUGCAUCGUCAGAAGGAGAAACACCUUACUGUACAAAAGUGUUGCGAAAUUCUCGCAACAAAGUGCUGAUUCCGCAACACUUUAGAGUGACUGGCUUGUAAUGGCUGCAACUUCUUCGUUUCAACUCCAAAUUGCACACCGUUUGAAGCAUUGGAUUGUUGACUUCCUGAGCUUUGAAAUGGUAUAUAGCUUGCAUCAUUUGGACUUCAGAAAGUGCUCCAAAAGUGGCUGCUACGACUGUCAUCAAGAAUAUGCUCCAUGACUGAUCCUCUUUGCUUUUUCUCCUUGCAAUCCGGAUUCACUCUUGGCAAUUGAAUUCUAAGCUUUGCCCAAGAUUCCUCAUAGUUCUCCUCAUUCUUGACUUGCUUUGGUGAUCAAAAUACUAACAAAAACACCAAAACUUGCACAAAGUGAUCAAAAUUGCUUUAAAGGAUCCUUAACAUGCCAAUUGAGUUAAAAGGCCUAAACUACUACUCAAAAGUGUUAAAAAGGAUUAAUUAAAGGCUAUCAAAUAGCACUUUUUGAGUAGUAAUCAACUGGCAUAGAUUAAGAAAGAGUUUUUAAAGGCCCCUGGGGCUAAGGCUAGGCUCAAGGAAAAUGCCUCAAGGCAUAACCAAUAGGCUCAAGCGAACAAAAGGCUCAUAACCCAACGUGUAGGGACAGUGUUAGACAUUCACCUCAACACACUAAAAAAAGACUUCUCUUUGAAAUAUUCUUUCCAAGUCCCAACCAAAUAUAAUUCUUGAUGAAUAGAUGGGCUUAAUACCAUUUCUCAUCUUUUCUUUUUCUUUCUUUUAAUUGCUUUGUGGGCUUGAAAUUCCUAAAACUUCACUUCAAUGAUUUAUUUUUAACAUUAGAUUUAUUCCUAAAUAUUGAAGUAACACCCACCAAAAAUAAGUUAUGUUUGGAUUUGAUCAAAUCAAAAUAUGAAAUUUUGGCAUUUCCAUGAAAAGAUUAAGUUGUAAUGCUGUCCAAGUCAAUUCUCACCAAUCUGGUCCAUGAAGACUAAAAUUUCUGAAGAAAGCACUAAUACUGCAUUUGAAGAGGACUCAUCCAAGCUUCCCUUGAGCAACAUUUCUAGUGAGACCUUUCCAAAUUAUUUAAUCCUUCUAAAAUUCCUUUAAAGACAGUCUAAAUUAAUCACAAAAUAAAUUAAAACUAGAUACAACUAUAAAUGUAUCCAGAACCAAAAAUAUUUUUGGUUCUAAUAAUAAUUAGUUGGGUCUUGAUUUAAAUUGAGUUUCCAAAGAUGAAAGUGAGCCAAAUUAAGCUUUUAUUGAUAGAAUUGCUAAAGUGCACAUCAAUUAAUCGAGUAGUUUGAUCUCAGUCUUUCUUUGAAAAGUUAUAUUUCACAAGAAACAUACUUGAUACAGCCCCAUCCAAGCUCAAGUUCAUAUCUUCUCACUAAUUUGAGAUUGAGGAUUUACUUCUUAGAGAUAUUCCCUGAGAUUUUAAGAGAAAAUUCUUAAUUAAGAUUAUUCCUUUAUCAAGAACCUGUUCAUGCAAUGAAGUCCUAUUCAAUUCCUUCAAUAGAAGUGUAGGUCAAUUGUUCAAUCAAUGUUGAUGAGAUUUUGCUUCUAUUAAGUGGUAUAGAAGGCACUACUCUAGUAGGUAGCAACAAGACUAGUAGUACCAAUAACAGGCAACAUCAAUAGCUGAAACUUGCUUCCAGGAAGGCAGGUAAGUCUGAGUUAGAUGUCCUCCUUCUCCCAACAUAAGCAUUUUUGCAAAGUUCACCAGCCCACAGACAAAACAACACUUGCAUAUAACAAUCAAGCUUUAACAGGGAGCAGGACCAGAGUAUAAAACCUAAUUCAAAAGAAUGAGGGCUUGCUUUCUCAAUUACAUCUGUCAGUGAUGAUUCCUGUAUCUCUUGCUUACUGUGAUUGGACUCUGAUAGCUUAGAAAUGAUAGAUAGCUAUUUCUUUCCUGAUCACUUAGACGACCUACCUAUUUCUCUCCUAAUCCAUCACUUGCUCGUCCCUCUCUCAUGAAAGAUUGUCUCUCCCCUCCAGGAGGUUUUUACUCAUACGACUAUGACCAGUCGCUAAGAUGAUUCCCAUUCAAUCCUUUUCAUUCAACAGUCUAUUAAUACUGUCUUAUUUUGUUUCAAAUUCCUUUCUUUCCACUAGUUCUUACACAAGGUGAUUUGCAGGAAGUAAACAACCUUUCAAAAUCCACUCCUGAAUUCAAGUCCUUCGGUACUGGGAUUGAAGUGAAGUUCUUCCAAGUUGCCAUUUGCCCCAAUCCUUUCUUCCAACUUAGAAGUACCAACUGUAAAUAGCUUUAGCAUCUCUUGACAAGAAAACGUCUUUAAAAAUGUGGACGGAAGGUGCUCAACACCCCAGUAGUUGAAUGGAAUCACCUUGUGUUCCUAUUCUAAUCCUAAUAUAACCUUUUGCCAUUUUUUGUUAUGUAAUGAUUGGAAGUUGUCAUGAGUCAAGCAAUUUAUAUAGUAGAGUCAUGUCCUAAUUCUUUAAAAGAAUCAAAUCCAGGACUCAUGCACACAAGUCAACUCAGCCAAGCUUAAAAUCAGAAUUAUAAAGUCUAUUCCAUGGAUACUUUUUCACCACUUAACCCUAUCUAUUGGCUCCAAUGAUAAGCUCACAUUGUGAUAGGUAUAAUAGUAUUUGAAUCCUUACUUCUAAGGAUAGAUGAUGGCUUACUUCUAAAUCCAUCAGACUUACAUCUUCAAGUGUCUCAGUUUGUUAAACAAUGUACUUCAUCUUUUCCUUCUAGUAACAGCUAACAAUGGCAUAAGUACAUCAUUUCAAUGUAUCAUUAACCAACUAAUAUGUGAUUUUAGCAUUAUUUUGCACUUGUAGAUGAUACUACCAGGUGGACAAGACUAUUGAUAAGAAAUGCGCCUGAUUUUUUAUUUUUAUUUUUUUUGUUGGUUAAUCAGAAAAAACUUCAUUGAAAUGAAUUAGAAAUAGAAAGUAAAACAAAAGAUAAGAAAUCAUCCCAGAACUUAGAAGAUCUUAUCAAAACAAAAAAGAUAAUAUACAGUUUAACCAAGAAAACCAACAUGAUUUAUUUUCCAAUUUCAGUGCCAUUUAUGUCAUGUUUUAUAUACAAAUUAAUGAAGAAAAUAUGACUUCUCUAUAAACUAAAAAGGAAAAAUGCAAUAUAGAUAUAUGUUUUGUUCCCACAGUUCCAAAAGUAAAUUGGGAUAGUACAUUCCAUUAGUGGACUUAAAAGUCAAAAAUGAUAAUGUUAUCAAAGUCUUGUCUACAACACCUCAAUCAUUGCAAAAUUAUCAAACUCAAAAUAUAUGAACUGAGAAUAAGCAAGGACAGGAUUUAAGAAAUGGUGAUGGGAAAUCAAUCCUAGUCCAUGACUGGAGAAUAGAUUUCUAGGCAGCCAAUAACCCUUAAUGGGUUAUGCUCACUAGUGAAGAGAAUGAUAAUGAACAUUAAACAUGUAUGAUCAUUGGGAAAUCAAUCCUUGUUGCAAAUGUCAUGGAUGAUUCUCUCAAUCUCAAUUGCUUGAGCCUAGCCUAGGCAGGCUAUGCUCGUUCCAACAGAGAGAAAACUGUGAGCAAGUAGGGUGGUACUGAUGAAUUCAGGGACACGACAAAGUUUCAGAAUUUUCACUAGGUUUUAUAUAGCACUUAAUCCAAUUUUUGGUAGAAUGUUGACAUAAAAGUAAUUCAUUUACUAAUAGUUGUAUAGUUUGAGAAAAGUAAAGGAAGAGAAUUGGUGUGGAAUUGAGAGGAGGAAGAAGACAGUUUGAAGUAGAAUCAUAAUCAUUCAAGAUUUUGAUUUGAGCUAGUCAAAAGCAAGGUGGUCGGAGAGAUUACAGAGAGGAGUUGAGGCUUCUCAAAAUGGGUCAGAUUUGGCAAGAAGAGUUUGUCAAUUAUUGGUGGGGUGGAGGCCUGCUGUCUAAAAGAGGACCUGAGGCCUUUUAGGAAGAGCUGGAUAGAGGAUGGCAAGAAUUAUCAGUUAGAGUUGCAGAGUAAUGUUCCUAUUUUGUUUUGUGUGCUCAAUGGAGGCAAAAAGGUCUUCCCUAGUUUUCCUAGAAGGUAAGGGUAACUUCUCAAACCAAACCCUGUUCUUGCCUUCACUAAAGGCAUGGGGGUUAGGUUUAACUUGUGACUGCAAGAGAGCCUUCAUUUAGCAUUGCUAGGAUGAUCUCUCAUAUUGUUGAAGUUUGAAAAGGUCACCAAAGCAAACAAGGUUUUUUGGGAGGGGAGAAUUUUUAAGAAAAAGAGGUUGUUUGACAAGUGCAUCCCUAAGGUGGGUUGUUUAAGAGGAGUCCAUGCAGAGGAAGCUUGGGUGAGAAUUGUCGAGCUGCUGAUUUUCUUGUGGGAUAGGGAGUUUUUUAAGUAAUUGGGAUAUAUAUAUGGGUGUUUCAAGGCAAUAAAUGAAGACACCAUUUUUUUUUAAUGAGAAACAACAAUGUAGUAUAUUAAAUAAAGAUUUAAAAAAUAGAAAAGAAGGAUAAGAAAUCCUCCCAAAAACAAAGAACUAAACAAAUGGAACCUCCAAAUUACUAAGUAAACCUAUACACCAUAUGGAAAGUACACAAAACCACCUCUCCUUGCUAGCUUGCAUCUUUGGACCAACACACUGACAACCAAUCAUGUAGAACCACAUUGAGGGAAUUCCCUUAAAAGUUAUGGUGCAAGAGGCCCAAAAGGAAGCAAGGAAAUGAAUGGUUUCCAAAAGAACCUCUGAAGUACUUGCUUAGCUUAAAAAAUUCUAACAUUUCUUUCCUGUUGCACAACCUAUAUCAAAGCCAAACAAGUAGUUUGCCACAAUACCAAGCCUUUAUUGGAUCUCACAAUCCCUUGUAUGCAAUGGUCAUCAUGUUAAAAAUACUCUUAAGAGAAAUCCAGCCUAACUUAGUCAAUCUAAAUAAUUUAUGCCAAUAAAUGAAGACAUGAUGAAGCGGCGUAAUUUGCAAAUGGUGAGAGUUUUGAUUAAAACAGAUGGGAGAAGGUUACCAAAAAGCUGUAGGUUGUGGUGUCUAUCUUGUUUUGUCAUUCAUUUGUGGUGAGAGGUCCCACCAUGGCUUUCUUAGGUUAAACCAACGCCGCUUAAAAGGAGGCAAGAGGUUUGGGUAUGUCAUGCAUUGUGGAGAGCAUGGAGGUAAGAGGGUCAACACAUUCUUUUGAUGUGGGCCUCCCAAUAACAAACAAGCCCUCUACCAUUCAUAAAAGCUUGCUAACACAAGUACUAGCCAUUGUGAAAAGGUGUUGCUUCAAUAGUCAAUUGCGUAACAUGAGGAGUAAGGGUGGUUGCCAUCACACAAUAGAGAAGCUGGCUAAUGUAAAGGCAACUUUGUUGAGACCUAUUCCAAUCAACAAAGCUCUUAUGCUAGAAGCGUCAUGCUUUCCAAGUAUGGCUCCUCCCUCUCCUUCCUUUUGAUGGUACAAGGUCUCUCUUCCUUCUCUUCUAUCUAAAGGAAAGCAUUUAGAAGAAAGGGUGGAGUAAGCAACUUAGAGUGCACUUCGUUAAACCCGAUGGAGAGGAAAAUGGGACUCUACACAUGAUUUUGAUUGGUGGCACAUCAAUGGAGUCCAUUGAAAACAGCAUGAGAACCGUUAGUGAUGUGGGAGCAAAAGAGUUGGAAGUGGGGACUAUUGCAAUAAAGGAAUCCUUCCCCUUGUUGUUUUGAAAAGGAUUUCCACGCUUCGUGGGAUGCUUCAAUAAGCUCGCAUCUUUCAGCAAGUUUGUGGGAAUGCCAAUUGGUGGAUUUGAAGGAGAAAUCUUGGCUACUUAAGGAGGAUAAAGCUUAUGAAAAUGGGCAAAGUCUCCAAAAUUGGGUUAAAAAGGAAAUAUAUCUAUGGAUCUUGAUUUGAGAUGGAGCUUUGCAAGCUGAAGUGCUUCGUCAACCAUAGUUUUGCUUUAGGCAAAGUGAGGAGUGGGAAGAACAAUUAGGAAUUGAUCAAGGUUUGAUGAUCAAGCUUCGCAUUCUUUCUUGGAAUGUUAGAAGGGUUAAAUGAGGUUAAAAAUGGAAAUCAUUGAUUGAAUCACAUAUGAAAAAACCUUGUGUGUUUACAAGAAACCAAGGUCUAUUAAAUGACGGUACAAAUUUAGAGCAGUUUGGGUAUGGGCAAAUUCUUGGAACGGAGUGUUUUGUGGAAGCUAGAAGUCAGGUAAGGGAGACUUUAGUCUUUUAGGGCAAUAAGGUGUUGGAGUUAAUUGAUAUGAAGUGGGGUGCAUCCAAUCUCUUAUUGAUUCAAAAACUAUGAGGACAACUUUGUCUAGAUGUUUUUAAGAAUGCAUGGGUUAGCCCAAAAAGGGGGGAGAGAGGAAUUUUGGGUGAAAAUGGUUGAUGUAAUAUGGUUUUGGAAUGACCUUCAUGUAUUAGAGGAGACUUCAAUGUGAUAAGAUUCCUUGAGGUAAUGAGUAAAUGUUUAAGAUGCUCAACAACAAUGUGGCACUUUUCAAAGAUCACAAAGGAACUUCAUUUGAGGGACAUCUCUCUAGUUGGUGGUUCUAUAACAUGGACUAAAGGGUUAAAUAAUUGAUCCUCACCAAGGCUAGAUCAAUUCCUUGUUUCUAGAGAAAGAGGAACCACUUCAGUAGAUUAAUUCGAGUGUCCUCCCAAGACUGAUUUCCAACCUCACUCUCCCAUUUUAUUAAAUGGAGGAGGGAUAAGAAAUGGCAAAACACUCUUCAAGUUUGAAAAUAUGCGGCUGAAAGUGUAAGGGUUCAAAGACCUUGUUAGAAAUUGGUGGGUAGGAUGCAAUAUUAGCGGUUAAUAUAGCCACAUCUUAGCAUUCAAGCUAAAAGCAUUAAAACAUGAUCUAAAAUUAUGGAAUCGAGAUGUAUUUGAGCAUGUCACUUUCCAUAAAGUUACAACUUUAAAUUAGAUUAAUUUCUAGGAUGCUAAGGAAGUCUUUCUUUCAACCGAGGAGGUCGAAGCUAGGAGGACGGUAGUGGAUAAGUUUAGAAAGUGGGCAACAAUGGAAGAAGUCUUUUGGAGGAAAAAAUCAAAAGAUAUAUGACUAAAAAUGGAGAUAGAAAUACAGGAUUCCUUCAUAAAAUGGCUAAUGCUCAUUGAAGAAGAAAAUAUUUGACUAAAACUAGGGUCAAUGUAGAAAUGUUAUUAGAAGAUGUAGACAUAAAGAAAAGAACGACAAGUGCUUUAUAUAGUCUUCUUUUCGAGUUUGGAGCAUAAAGGAUGAAUCUCAAUGGGAUGUUUAAAAGUUUGAGUAUAGAAGAUUUAAAGUCCUUAGAGAAUUCAUUUUUUAAGGUGAAGGUCUAUUCAACACUCUUAGUUUGUAUAGCGAUAAAGCCCCUAGGGCUUUUUGGCAUUUUUGGGGGACUUUGUGAAAAAAUGAGGUGAUGAGAUUUUUUGCAUAGUUUUUUAAGUUAGGCUCUUUUAAAAGAAGCCUAAAUGCCACUUUUAUGGUGUUAGUCCCAAAAUGAAGGGGGUACAAAAGAUUUAAAAGACAUAGAUUAGUUAGGUGGAUGUGGGUGUGUGUGGGGGGGGGGGGGGGGGGGGGGGGUAUGUGUGUUUGCAUGAUGGGAAAAGAGGUUUCAACUUCUCAACAUGAAUGUGUAAAAGGUAGACAAAUCUUAGAUGUGGUCUACUAGAGUGCAUGAUACGCAUUAUAGGCUCAAAUCCUACAAGUUUAAGCUUUUAGAAAAAUUGGUUGUUCAACAUGGUAUUAGAGUCUCACCUAGCAAAAGGUCAUCUAUUUGAACAGCACUGCAUGUUUAUUUCCUCAAUUUAUUAAAAGCCUAAAAGAGGUUACUCUAUUGCCCACAUAUAAUCCCAAGGAUGAUUACACAUGAAGGAGAUGAAGAUUUCAUAAAUAGACUGCAAUAUAGAAGAAAAAUGACUUAUCAAAAGGAGGAAAGCUAACGUUGAUUAAAAAAAAAAAACUUUUCCUAGCCUACAAAGGGAUUUUGUUUAGGGAGAAGUGCUUUGAUGAAAAGCCAACGAAUUGGUUGAAUAGUUUGCACAGACGAGGGAGGGGUGCUUAGGUUUUGUUUAUUUUAAUAGAUAAAAAGCAAAUUAUAUUGAAAAAUGCUUGGAAAAGGCACACCAAGUACACAUGAAGUAUACAAAAUGCGCUAAAAGCAAGCAAAGGGAAAAUAGAAACAAACCAAAACCCAAUACAAAAAUAACACCCUAUAGUUCUAGAAAAACUGAUGGCACUCAUACACAUUGUUUUAAAAACCAGACCGGACCGGCCGGUCCAACCACUCAAACCGUUGACUGGUGUACUUUCCAGUUCAGUCCAUCACAAUGAACCGUUUUGUAGUCAACUUGACAUUAAACCGUUCAAACCGAUGGUCAAACCACUGAAUCGGACAAACCGUCCGAUUUUUUCCAAACCGAUCAGACCUUAAUUGUUAUAAAUAUUUGCUAACUAUUAAGAGGCCCAUUAUCCAUCGGGCCCAUUUCCAUGCCCAAUACUUAUAAAACUAAAACUAAUUAUAAGCUUAUAUUUGGUCCAGGCCACUAGAGCCCAAUCCAAUGGCAAGAAAGCUUAUAAAACUUAUAUUUGGGCCAUAUCUCCAAGCCUAAUUUGCUGGCAUGUUUGGCUUGGAUGUUGAAGGUAUUUAUAGAGCACUUAGAGCACAUAGAAUUCAUGUGCUUCCGAUGUGGGACUGGGACUAAUUAGAAGCAAAAUAUUACUUCUUGGAGGGCUAGACGGAUCUCAAAGUUUGAAGCCUUUUAACCAUUGAGCAUUGCACCAUAUUUAUUAAAUGGUGUUGUUAAAAAAUAUAUAUAAUAAGAAUCUAAGAUUAAUGUUUUUAUUUCAAAUUUUUAUCAUAUAAAAUCUUUAAAGAAAUGUAAAUGUUUAAAUUCCUAUUAAUUUUUAUAACAAUAAUUAUAAAAAAUAAUAUAAAUUAAUUAAUAGAAUAAUUUUAAAACAAUAAAAUACAAAGAUAAAAAGAUAAAAUUAAUUAUUAUAAAUUUUUUUCAUCUUAAAUAUAUCUUCAUUCUUAAAUAUUACAUAUUCUAUUUAAUAAAAUUUAAAAUAUUAAACUUCAUCAUUUAAUUUAAUAUACCAAAUAUAAAAAUCAAACAUUAUUAAAAUUUAUAAUUUUAUAUAUUUUUAAUUUUUUAUAAUUAUUUUUAAUUUUAUAUAAUAUACAAAUGAUAUAUUUAUUACAUCAUCAAUUCAAUCGCAAUACAACCGUCGAUCCGACCAGUGAACUGUGAACCGGUAAUUUUUCCAGUUCGAUAACUGGUCCGGUUGUGAAAACAUUGCUCAUACAUCCAACUUGCAGCCAACCAAAUAUGCUAACUCUUGACUGAAUAUAGCCUACAUCACUCCUCCCUAAUCUUGUAGCCACUCUUCACAACUCUAACCUAAACACUCAAAAUCCACUUUCCACCCACUCUUCUAACUCCACCCUUUUCCGCUAAAUUGAUUGUAAUUAACCGAGCUCUCUAAGUUCCAAAGCUGCCUAUCAAAACGAGAUAUAGACAAAGGUCUCCUCUUAAUACUUGAGACCCCAUUGUAUGACCAUUUCUAGCUUCGAACUUCCUUAAUAGAGAGACAACUUCCUUUUGAAAACUAUCCAUAGGCGAUCCCAAAGACUUGCUGAAGGAGAUGAAAUUCUUGAAAGAGGAGUCCAGCAUGUUCUUACUGGGGUUAUCUUUUCCUAGAGCCCCCACCUCACUACACAAAUCAAUGACCACACACUCGACAUCGUUGUAAGAAUUUUUUGAAACAUCCACUACCAGAUCCUCAUUGGAGAACAUCCACAAAGGUCCAUAACCACCUCCCUUGCUUUCUAAAGAAAACCCCUCGUCUUGUUCCUUCCAUAGAAUUACGCUCUUAGCCAAAUCCAUUAGCACACCCUCAUCUUUGAAAAUAGAAGAAGAAAAAGGAGAAAUCCCACCCCUCAACAACAAAACAAAAGACGAGGCCUUACCUGUGAAACCUUCCGCUUCACAGAAGAGAGCAACAUCAGCAUAUGGCACUUGUUCAUCAGCGAUCUGUGUUGCUGCCAAGAAGCAAAGGUUUAAGGGAAGGUUCUGGAACAUGUGUCUUUCACCUACUAGAGGAAAUGAAGCCUCUUAAAAGAACCUUUGGGCUGGCCCAUGACAAGAUCAUGUGAGCCCUCAACAGGAACUGCUCGACAUGAGGCAGAAAGGGACUAUGCCUCCAACCGAAAAGGAAUGGGCCGAAGAACAACAUGGUCGAUCCAGGUCAACAGACAAAGAGCAAGGCUUAAGGCACUCAGGGCCUCCCACCUCUUAACCUGUAGGAGAAGGAGGCCUUGAUACUGCUUGGACCACCAGCCCAACUCGAGCCAAAAAAGGAUGCCUAAAGACCAUCCCCUCAACCUACCCACUAGCCUCCAAAUAUCUGCUGCAGGCAGAAAAAGCUGCGGCAACUGAAACUUAGGCAAAGGAGGGAAGCUUGGGUAUUAGAAGUCCAUCCAACCUUAACAAGACUCUUUUUGGAUGAUAUUGAUGAUUUGUUACUGAGAGAAAUUCUUUUUGGGAGAGCCAAAAGGGCGAAGUGUAGAGAGGAGGGGAGGGGGGUGGGGGGUAUGGUGCCUAAAAGAGGUGAGGGAAAGGUAUGGAUUGAGAGCAUGACAGACUAUCAGAAGCAGGUAGGAGGAUGUUAAUUGUAGAGUCGGUUUUAGAGUGGGCAAUGGGCAGAGGGUGAAAUGGUAAUCAUUUGUGCUAUUCACACAAAGCCUUAAAACAUCUCAAGUUUGUUUAUGUGAUUCUACUAAUGGAAAUGUCAAUUCAGCAGUACAAUAGUAAAUUUAUUAACAGCAUAGACAACAUACAUACCUAUUACUUAACAUCCUACAAGCCAAUGAUAAUCACGAACGGUCAAAGUGGUAACAAGGCUAAAGAAUCAGAAUAUUAUCAAAUAGUUUCUCAUCAUGCCCACAAUGAGAAUCAGUUGAUGUCUUUUAACCAAAAGGUUAUGUUUACCUUGACUCUAGUUGGAGUGUUUCCUGACUUAGUUGUAGUUGUGCUCCCAAAGACUUCUGGAGAAUUUCCAGGCUUAGUGGUAGUUGUGCUGCAGGCAUUGUAUCUAUCCAUUUUCCUUUGCAACAAUUUCCUUAACCCCACAACUUGACAACCGCAGCAACUGAAGUUGCACAAGAACUAGACAUGGUGUAAUCGCAAUGCUGAAGCAGCUCCCAAUUCCACAAUCUCAAGAUCACAAUCGCCUAAAAGAAAACAAAUGCAAUACUAUGAGUGGGAGUUCAAAAUAUGAUCAAGCAGAUUACAUAAAAUUUGUAUUCGCAAGCAACAUCAUUUUCAAUUUAUUCCAAAACAUCCCUUUAAGUUGAUUGAUUUAUUAGCCAAUAAAAUAAUCAAUUCAACAUGAUAUGUGCGAAAUUGAAAUCAUGGUAUUAAGCAAUCAGAAUGACACAACAUCCUGGUAUCCGGCAUUGGCUUAGAGAAGGUUAGGCUACAUCUCAGAUUCUGGGUAUUUACACAUCCCAACAUCAAAACAUCACAAAGCAUCUAGCAUUGGAAAGCUCAAUAACAGUAACAUUCUAUAAUAAGAGACCAUUCUCACUGGGUUUUUCACGUGAUAUACAAUUCGAAGAACCUCUUAUGUUUCUGAAUAGAGCUUUCAUAUUUAUUUCAAAAUAUAGGAAUAAAACAUUCUGCAAUAACAUUUCCUUGAUCAUAGGAUAAAUAUUUCAGAAAAGAGUCACAAGCUUUCAUUUUGAUGGCUGCUAAUGGGUUUAACAAUAACAUGUUAAGUACGAAUUGCAGUUGACUUUGAUCUUAAUGAAUCAAACAAGAUUGGCAGUGUCUCUCUGACAGCAACACUGUUUAACAUUCACAGAAAGUGAAGAAAAGCUUAAUACUCAUCCUCUGCACCUAAGAAAUGGACAUGAAGAUGAAAGGCCCUACCAUUAUUGAAAUACAAAUGAAUUAAAGAAAGUCAAUGCAGUGUCCAAAUCCUAGAAAUUCAGGCCACAUUGAGCAUGAGAGUAGAAAAGGUGAGAAUCAGUGAAGUUAUCCAUAAUUAGUAUCUACAUUCAUCAGGAAAAAAAUUAUAAAUCAAGGGAAGUCCCAAUAAUUUGCAGUUGUGUGUUAUUUGAUGUUGACUGAGUGCAUGGUUUUGACAAUUGAACACUUAAAAAUGAACCAUGGUUCUGACUUGCUUUCAAUCCUUUAGUGAAAGAAAUGUGCUUGGAAUAUGCCUCUGACUAGACUGAUCUUUGUAACAUUGGCCAGAGAGGCCCACGCUAAUUUGGUGAUUCAAGACAUGGGUUGUUCAGCUACACUUCAAUUGCAAGUAUUCUAAGCUACUAAAUAAAUUUUGUGCUAGGAAAAGCAUCCAUCUAUAAAUGGAACAUAAAAAAUUUCUACUGCACUACGAACAAGAUCACCAUAAAAGUUGAGGGACACAAUGAAGAUUGAUGAAUCAGCACGUACCAUGUGUUAAACAACAGGUGGAUAGUGGUGUUAAGGUCAUCCUUCCAAUGCUCUUUAUUAUUUCCAACUUCUACUCUGUCUAGCCUUGGUGUAACCAAGAGGCCCUGAGAGAAAAUUUUCAUCUUAGGGAAUUCUUCCACCACCACACGUUCCAAGACUGGGAAUGAUAAUGUAUAAACCCCUGAACAGAAGCUUGUGAGGUUUGGCAAACCACAAAGCUCCAUCUCUUCCAAUUUGUAGAAAGUAAUUUCAUCUCCUGCGUUCUCUCCUUCAUUGGCAACUACUUCCUUCAUCAUAUUUGAUCUACCUAUUUUGAAUAUUUUGAGUUGCACCAGACUUUUUGCUAUCAAGGGUGGUAGAAAAUUUAUCAGACUGCAACAGUAGGAUAUGUCUAGACUUGCUAGAUUAUGGAAAGACACUGAGGAUGGCACCAAAUUCAUCAAGUUGUCACAAUCCCAUAUUUUAAGAAUCUCAAGAUUUUGAAAAUGAGGGCCUACAUUAGAAUUUUCCUUCCACAAAUAUUUCAGCUCAGGCAGAUCAUUCAGCUCUAGUUCCCUUAACCUUGCAAGUGCUCUGAAAUGAUUUUCCUCAUCAACAAGUCCCUCAAGUUGGACUACCUCUUUCACAGAACCACGGCUUCUCACAGUGAGUUUUUCCAACUUAUGUAAUCUUUGAAGCAUAGAGGAAUGACAACCAAAAUAUCUCUAUACUAUAGUCUUUAUAAGUCCAUCUUCAUUUCAUAACAUUUUCCCCUUAUGAAUUAAAACAUUUGUAGAGAUAUUCUUAAUAUUUUAUAAGGAAAUUUAAUAUUACAAUAAUAUAUCGAUUUAGGAAGUAUUUUAUAUAAUAUUCUUUACAAAAGGAAAAAGAAAAAGGAAUCUACACUAAUUAGGAAUCUAAGACACUUUCUAACAAUUUUCACCUUGGAUUAAAUUCCAUUAAGUCAAUUUUUCAUCUUUCCACUAUACACUUUUUAUAUUACAUUUUGACAAGAGAGCAAUUGAAUCCACCUUCAACUAAAAUUCUUUUUGCUAUGAUCUUGUGUGCUUUAUUCUCUUUGGUACUUCUAGAAAUCUUCAUCUUGAGCUUUGAUACUAAUUUGUUGUGCUAAUAGAAGAUUUGAUGUAAAUAUAUUAGUCUAAGAACACAAGGAUAAAACAAUUCACACAAAGGUACCCGAGGUUUUAACAUGGUUCGACCAACCAUGUCUAGAAAAUCAGAUACCACUCUUAGGUUCUUGAAACAUUCCAUGUUGCCCAACUCUUUGUAUCUACACUUGAAACCAUGAGCCCCUCACUUCGUCGGAUGUCUCUCAUUCUUCCUCACAUUUUUAUCGACCUAUAGUGUUUAUAAGCCCAUCCCCAUUUUAUAACAUUUUUUCCUCAUGACCUAUAAUAUUUAUAAAAAUAUUCCUUAUAACUUUUCUUAGUCUAUAAAGAAAUCUAAUAGUAUAAUAAUAUAUCAACUUUGGAAAUAUUAUAUACAAUAUUCUUUACAAAAAGGAAUUUAUAUUAAUUAGGAAUUUUGGACACUUUCUAGAAGUUCUUAUAGACUAAACCCAUUAAUUAGCAAAAAAAACUACAUAAGAUGAUCAACAAGGUCAUCGGUCCUGUCAUAAAUCAAGAACUUUGAGAAAACAAAUUCCAAAGGCACUUCUACUUCCAUAAUAUGCAAAGUGAAUAGACUAUGGGUCAAUCCAUGCAUUAUUCUACUUAUAAGUUAAAGGGCAUUUUUCCCUACAUGGAGUCAACAUGAUCCUUCAACGUAUCCAAUUAUAUUUCUAAUGUUGCCUUGUCUUUAAAAGACUGUAACUCCCAUUCUUGAAAUACUUGUCAUCUUCUAAAGAGGUGAGUCUACCUAGAAGGACCCUCCAUAGUGGGUGGCAUUGACAAGGUAAUCAAGGAUUAAGAAUGCCUCAUACUUAAUCGAACAUUCAACUCCUCAUUAUCGUUCAUGAAAGCUUUGUUUUGUUGCUUUAAUUGUUUAACUACUUAUCAAAAUACACUCUUUGUUGUUUCAUGUAGUCCAAGAUUUGAUGAAAGUACUCUCUUAGAUCAUGCUCAUCCCCUAGUGGUCUUUCCCUUUGCUCCAAUCUUUCUAACAUUAUUGCAUCUUUCCUACAAAAGGUAUCAAAGUGUGGGAGUUGAAUAAAAGCAACGUGUCUUUUCUUUUUCCUUUCUCUUCUACAUAUGGUCAAGCCUUAAAGGACCCAUAUCUCCACUUUCUCACCACUUUCCUAUUUCUAGGGAGUAAGAGAAUGGGAAGUUUCAUGACAAGCAAUAGUCUCAGUGUAGUACCUAGAUCAAAUCUAUAUUUCACCAUAUUCAUGUUCCAUCCUUGUCUAUUGCCAAGUAGCUUUAGAGUUAAGAUACCAUAAGAUAUACCACAAUAUCACUUUGGAAGAAACCUCAUAAAUUUGAGGGGAGUGUUAAAUUGGUUUUUUUUAUAUAAACAUUUUCAGUUCAAAAUAUCAUUCAUUUGUUAACCAUGUAAAAUUAUUUUAUAAUUUGUCCUCUAAUGUAUAAAAUUCAUAUGUUCUUGACAAAUAGUUUUCAUUUGACAAGCUUUCUUUGCAAAUUGUUACUAUUCCAUUAAUAUUAUCAAAUACACAUACUAUUAUUCUUUUAUCUCAUCUCCUCAACUCAUGAGAAAAAAGUUUAAAUAUAAUUGAAUUGUUAAAACUCCAAAUAAUUUAAUUUUAAUAUGUAAGUAUCGCUAUCGAAUUUGAUGAUAUCAUAAGCAGUAUUGAAUCAUAAGUUUGAAUAUAGAUUUCACAAAUUGUCUAUUUCAUAGUGGAUGAUUCUAGCUUGCAAAUUUUAAGCAGAAACACAUCAAACAAAACUUGAACUUUGUGCAAGGUAUGAAUUCGAAUUUCUAUCAUUCUUGGGGUUUAUACUUAUUUAGGGUUUAUUUGGGAUUGAUUUUGACAAAAGUAUUUUUAAACCUAUAACACUUUUGUUGCUAGUACUUAUAACUCUCAAUCUCAAAUUUGAUGGUCCUCAUAUGAUGAGUCCUGUAGAACCUUAAAUUUAUGUUUUUAUACCUCAAGCCCAACUGCUUCAAGCCUAACCAACUAUAAGCAAUAAUAAAUCCAUAAAUAGAGAUUUAUACUAUGAUACAAGUGGAGAUUCAUUAUGUGACUCAAAUAGUAACCAUCCAUAAUUAUGAAGAAAUUUCAAUAAUUAUGAACAAUGUGGAAAAUAUCAUACAAUCCAACAAAUCUAUAUAAACCUAAAAUAUAACCAAAUAGAUUAAGAUAGAGAGAUACAUAUUGCAUUAACAUGGUUAGAAAUCAAUCCAGCCAAAGAGUAACAUUCCCAAGAACAAAACAUGAUGUAAUCAUAAUGCUGAACCAGCUCCCAAUUCCACAAUCUCAGCCUCAACAUUACCUAAAAAACGUAAAUAAAUCAUUAUGAGCAUUUAAUAAGGUUAAAUAAAGAGAUUACAAUUACUAGUGAUUGCAAAUGGUAUAUAUAUUUAUUUAUACCAUUUGCAGUUUCAGAAUAAAGGUUUUCGGAUCUACUUUAUUUAUUUUCAAAAUACAGAAACAGAACAUUCUGCAAUAUCAUUUCCUUUGAUGAUAGGAUAGAUAUUUCAUAAAAUAGUUCAAAACAUUUCAUUUUAAUGGUUGCUAAUUGGUAUAAUAAUAAAUGUCUAAGUAUGAAUUGCGCUUGAGAAAUCUAAAAAGGUCUCACAUCAGUACAUACCAUGUGCAUUUAUAAACGAAUUAUGGAUGGUGGUAUUCGGAUCAUCCUGCCAAGGCCACUCAUCAUCUCCCACUUUUAUUCUUUCUAGCCUUGGUGUAGUCACGAGGCUUGGAGAGAACAUUUUCAUCUUGGGGCAUUCUUUCACCAGCAUCUGCUCCAAGGAUGGGAAUGAGAAUAUAUAACCACCCGAACUGAAGCUUGUGAGGUUUGGCAAAUACAGAAGCUCCAUGUGUUGCAAUUUGUAGAAAGUAAUCUCAUCUAUUGCUUCCCCUCCUUCGUUGGCAACUACUUCUUCCAUCAUAUCUGAUCUACGUAUUUUGAGUGUUUUGAGUUUUACCAAACUUUUAGCUACCGAGGGUGAUAUCAAACUUCUCAGACUACCACAAGAAUGCACAUCUAGAGUAGCUAAAUUCUGGAAAGAUACCGGGGAUGGUACCAAAUUUAUCAAACUGUCACAAUUCCACUCUUCAAGACUCUCUAGACUUUGCAAAUCAAGGCCUGAUUUGGAGUUUUCCUUCCACAAAUGCGUCAACGCGGGAAGAUCAUGCAACCUUAUUUCUCUUAACCGUCCAAGCCUCUUGGCUUGAUUUUCCUCGUCAAGUCCUUCAAGUUGGAAUACCUCUUUGACUGAACUACAUUCUACCACGUUAAGUACUUCCAGAUUAUGUAAUAUAUGAAGCAUAAAGGAAGGAAUCACAACCAAAAUAUCUCUAUUUUCACAUACAUCCAGAACUCUUAGUCUGGGAAAGCAAUCCACUGGAAGUUGGUCUGGCCAUAUUUCUGUAUCUUUGUUCUGACCCAAUGCUAAUUCCUCCAAAUUAGGGAAUGCAACCUGGGAAAUGGUUGGAAUAAAACAAAUUUGUUAUCUCAGUUAUAACUAGGAUAUGCACAUCUGCAAAGAAGUGUUGUUUUAUUUAUUUAUUCCAAGUAAAGAACAUGGAAAAAUUAAUAUAAUUUUUUAUGCUAUUUACAGAAGAUGCACUGGACAUCCACGUCCAGAGUUCUAAUUUUAUGCUGUCAUUUAGCAUCUGAGAAGUAUGAUGAUGCAAGGUGUAAGUCACUUGAAUAAAAAUGGAUUGGAAAGGUGGUUCACAAUUGUUUACUAUAAGUUGGCUGGUUAUAGAUUAAAUAAUUUUUGGAAACCAAUAAAAUUUACAAUAAAUUGCAAUAUUGGUUUGAACCAUAUACAGGGAGGAAAAAUGGAAAUCAAGGAUGCUCUCUAAAGGAAGUUGUGGAUCAAGUAGGGGCCAAUAAUUAGUUUUGGGUUCUGCAUCCACGUUUUCAUGGGUCAAGUUAUUUAAUGUAAAAUUUAAGGAAACGUGAUAACGUAAAAUUAGGAAACUCACAUGUGGGAGCAAGAAAAGGGGCAUAUCAAGAUUUCCCUCACCAUGUCUUUGUUGGAAUGUUGGAGUUUCGAAUGCAAAUACAUCGAGUUUAUGACACUCCCACACUAUUAGUUGUUCCAACAAUGGCCACUGUGAAAUAUGCGCCCCCGGGUAGAAACUCCUGAGUUGAUGUAGAUGGGAAAGAGUGAGAGAGGUUACUUUAGGGAAUACAAACGUAUUCCUUAAUGAACUGCGAUCCACAUUCACAUUUGUCCCUUCCACAUCAAAAACCGCUUCUAAUGAGCUACAAUUAUCUACUAACAAAACCUUUAGACUCUGUACCCUUUUCAGCAUACAAGAUGGAAAAAUAUUCAACAAUUGUCCACAUGAUGAUACGGUCACCUCUUCUAGUUUAGAGAAGGAAUCUUGAGGAAUUUGGUUGUGCCAUAUUUUUUUCACAUUAUCCAGUCCCCAGAUGAAUGAGAACUUCAAGCUAGGAAAUGCAACCUGCAGAGUUCAUCCCACCAUUUUGUUAUUUAUAUAUUUUGACUAACUGAAAAAAGAAAAUUAUCCAUGUGUAGGAAAACACAAUAAACUACAUCUUAAAGAAGGGUGGAGGAAAAUGUACAUGCUUAAACAAGUUGAAUUUCAUUAUCUAAAACUAUAAGAAUUUGUAAGGAAAAAAUCAAUCAAGAAAUAGCAGAGUUCCCGUAGAAUUCAUUUUAAUACAACUCUCAUACAUUUGAAAUGUUCCAAAAGAGUCGUUUGUUUGGUUUUUCCUUUUCCCAUUUUUUUAUUUAAUUGUUAAAGCAAAUUACUUUAAGCCUUAAAUAUUUUGAUUGAUUCUUAUCUAAUUGUCUUAAAAAAAAAUUAAACCACCACAAUCUCGUGUAAUUUGGAUGAGAAUGAAUUCAUUAUGAACUACAAAAACUUAUCAUACAAAAAUACUACUUAAAUACUUUUUAUUUGUUUAUAAAAAAUUCCUUUAUCUAGAUAAUAAAUUAAUAAAAAAUAAAUCCAUAAAAUUCUAUACAUUUAUCACACAACAAAAUAAAAAUAAACUACCACUAAUUCUAAUAUAUAUUUCUUAAUUAAAAAAACCCAAAACAUAAUUUACAUUCAUCUAAAUAUUCAUUAGAGUAAAUAAUUCAAUAAAUUUUGUAAAUCAAAAAAUAGAAUUUGAUAUUCUUUCCCAAAUUAAAAAUAUAAAAGUUAGUGAAUUAAUUUCAAUAAUCAAACAUAUACUUCAAUUAUAAAAGCAUCAUGCAAAGAUAUGUACAUUGUGUAGAAGUGUUAACUUAGAAAAUUUUCUAGCAUUUUUUUACUAAUAAAGUAUAAUUAGAAAUCAUUUUUAUUAUUCCAAUACAAAUUUUCAUAAUAAUUAUAUAAUUAAUUAUUAUAAAACUUUUAUAAUAUUAAUAAUUCAAAUAUUUUAGGAUAUUUGAAUAUUAUUUUUUCCAAUUAGAGUAAGAAGAAAUAUCAUAAUUAAUUUUAUAAAUAUUUUAAUAAAUACAAACUACAUUCAACGUCCACCAUUCAAACCUGAAUAAAAAUAAAUAAAUUAAACAUUUAAUUAUAUUAAACUCUAUUAUUAACCGUUAAGUUAAAUUUAGGUGAAAAAUGAAAAUAAAAAAAGAGAAACAAGAACCAGCUCAAUCUAAAUUUUCUUUAUUUUCCUCCAAUAAUUUGAUUGAUAACAAUGUUAAAAGGAAAAUUAAAAUCAUAAGAAUUAAAAAGAGAAGGAUUCUGAGAGAUAAACUAACCCUUUCAUCAAAGAGCACCGGGAAGGGGGUAUCAAGGUCUGUAUGGUGAAGCCUUUGGAGGGAAUUAUAUCCAGGGGAGAAGCUUGUGAGGUUGGGCAAAUAUAACAGUGAAAUAGAGAAUAAUUUAGGGAAUAUGAUAUUGCCUACAGGAGCAGAAGCCAUGGAAGAAGGGAAAUGAUUUUUGGAGCUGCCAUAGUUGCACAUGUGCCUCAACUUUGGUAGACCAAACAACGUCAGUUCUUCUAAUUUAGGGAGGAGCUCAACAUGCCCAUCAUCAACAUUUAGCUCUUCAAGAUCAAAUACGUGUUCCAGCUGACCACAGUUUUCCACUAUUAGUUCUUCCAAAUUCUGUAACAAACUGGGUGGGAAUAGUUUCACCAGUGACUUGCAAUUCUCCAACUUGAGAGAUCGGAGGUUGCCCCCCAAGGAAAGCAGACGUUGGCCAUCCCUGAUCUCCUGUAACAUAGAUGUAUUGCAUUGUAUACAUAAAAUUGCAGCAAUUAAUAUAGAGUGAAAAUAAAUCAUGAUGAUAAUAUGUUUGUCAAAUUAAAAAAAGCAGUCUAUUAAUUAUAUUCAAUCAAUGCUCUGUUUUGAUUGGUGACGUUUUAUCUUUGCUGGUAAAGUCUCAUCAUGAGGGGAUUCUUGCUGACUCAAAUCAAUUAAUGAGGGGCAAGUCUCCAAGUAUUUGAAUUGAAGUGAUUAAAAAGGCAUUGACCAGAUAGAAAGGAUUAUCAAGGUUUGACAUACCGGUUGGUUGAGAGGUGGUGUACUAGGACCAACAAUUGUGCUUGUAGGCUUCGAAAGCACCGGGUUCUCCUCAAAGCAAAAAUUACUGAGCUUGGGUAAGUCCUGUAAUGUCAAGUGUCUCAAUUCAGGGAAUAGAGGCACAUUAACAGUAUCUUCUUUUAUUUCUUUCCUUCCUUGGGAAACCAUCUCAACCAUACUCUCGCAUCUAGUUACUUUUAUUUCUACAAGUCGGGAAAGGCAUCUAGCCACAGACAACGAGAAGAGAAAUUUCAAUCCAUCGCAAUCUUUCACUUCCACUUUUCUCAAGCAACCAAAGGACCCUGCUGGAAAUUGGCCACGACAUACUUCUUGCAAGUUAAUCAGCUGAUUGAGAGACAAGGUCUCCAUAACAGGAAAGGCACCAUGUGAUGGAGUCAGAUCCAUCGAGUUCACAAUAUAUUGAAUCUCUGGACUGCUUUCGACAUUGAGAUGCUUUAAUUUUAAAAAACCCUCCCCAUCUAAUUUGGAAAGAACAUUAGUACCACCACACAAUUCAUGCAAGUGUAGAUCUUCGGUUCUCUUCAACAACUUGAUGAUACCAUCCACCAGAUGGAGGCUUGUAUCUAACUUGUUGAGCUUCAAUGUUUUAUUAGUUUCAAAAAUUUCUCUCCAGCUCCAGACAUCACCUACAAAUAUUCUAUAUCUCACCAAGUUAUCAAAGACUAUGUCUUUUGGCAGCAACUUGGCAUCUCGUAUUUGUAUGUCCAAAGAGGUUAAAUGAGACAAAUGCUUCAACUCAGCAAGGCAAGCAUUACUCUUUCCUUCCCCCUCCCAUUGAGUAAAGCUAUUUGCCAUACACAAAUUCUCUAAUUGGGACAAGCUUGAUAUGACACCUGAUGGAAUUACUUUUAGUUUCGAAGAACCGCUCAAAUCUAACAGCCUUAAAUGAGUCAACUGUGCUAUUUCUCUGGGCAACUGUUCCAUAUCAGAAUCUAUAAGGCUAAGAAUUUCUAAUUUCUUUAGCUUUGCAAUUAUAACAAUGUCUCCCACCUUGCAUCCAUUCAAACACAAUGUUCGAAGAUUUGUAAGGCAGUGAAGUGAUAAGGGCAGUGAUGGAAGUUGCAUUCGAGAUAAAUCUAAUACUUUGAGUUGCUUCAUCUCUUCAAAAAAUUUGUUUGGGAUUUGCACUGCCAAAUUGGUGUUUACAUCAUAACAUCCAAAAAGUUCAAGUUUUGGACAUACCAGCCCUUCUGGAAGUUCACGAAUAUCACAGUCAUGCAGACUUACCGAGGUGACCUUCUGGAGUUCAUCUAUCCUUGGCCAUCCUUCCACUCUUACAGUAGUAUUCUGGAGUGUAAACACAUGAUGUUGAUCGGAUGCAAUUUUUCUGGCAGUACUCCGAACAAGAUCAUGCAUUCUAACAACUGCAUUAUGGCCAGUUUCUAGUAACAAAUUUGAGGAUUUGAGGGUUUCAACCAAUGUAUCUAUUCUAUUUUUUGCCUCUUCCAAUGUAUUAGUUCCUUGAAAUAAUCGCAGACCCACACCAUAUUUCAGCAAGUCCCAUAUAUGAAUAUCAUUUUGAGAAAUUAAACCACAAAGCAAGAAAAAUGACUUCACUUCAACUCCCUUCAAGUGUUCGUAGCUCAACUUCAGACUUGAGUAUACAUUUGCUGUCAGUCCUGUUAUGUUUGUCGAGGUUUGUGAUUUCAGUUGUAGUCGAGCAUCCUCCCAAAUGGACACACUCUUCUUGCCUUUCAAUGCCGUUGCCACAGUUACUAUUGCAAGUGGCAAACCCGCACAUUCUUUUGCUACAUCAACAGCUAUAGGUUGCAACUCUGGAUUUUCAAUGGAACCAGCUGUGUUCUUAAAUAAAAUCCAUGUUUCAUCUUCUUGCAAAGGUUGAACUCGAAAAUCCUUUUGAGUAUCCAUCUCACUGGACAAGAUGUGUUCAUUUCUAGAAGUUAGCACUAAUUUGCAUCCUUUGUGGUGAUCUGGAGAAGGAAUUCCUAUUUUCUCCAAGUCAAGUUUCGCCCAAAUAUCAUCCAAGAUGAUGAGGAUGGUCUUCUCCUCGUUCAUCCUCUGAUAUAGUCGAGCUGCUCUUCCCUGUUCACUCUCCUCCUCAAAUUUCAUACCUAGCAGGUCUGCAAGUUCCCCUUGAAUUUUUUUUAAGUCUGGAGUCUGUAACACAGCUGCCUUGACCACCUUGUCGAAUAACUUCUCUUGAGCAGCUUGUUCAGCCACUUGUUUCACCAGCGUGGUCUUCCCGACACCGCCCAACCCCCAUACCCCGAUCUUGUUGAUCUUGGCAUCCCUUAAGGCCUCCAUGACUUCAUCCAAAGUCAACACUCUUGAUCGUAAAGCUUCGGAAGGUGCAGACCUUAUCUCUUGCUGAGGGGCACGAUAUGAUACCCUCUCAAAUUGGCCAUCUCCAUGGAUUUGAACAGCAACCCCUGCCUUCUUCCUUGCUUCCCUGCUUAGCUGGUACCGGGACUUCAAAUUAGGACACAACCCUUUGAAACAACUCUUCCGCGCCUCCUUCUCAUCUUCAAGGAAUUUGCAAACAUUUUGUAUGAACCCAUCAGCACGUGUCAUCCAAUUGCAAACAUCAUCCUCGAUUUUAUGUCCAUUCCUAAUAGCUUCAUCCACAGAGUGCUGCUGCCUAGCCCUGGCAUCCCUCAGCUUCUCAACCUUUUGAGAGAGAUCCUCAAUGUUGGUACGGUAAUUAGACAGAUAACCCAGCUGACGUACAACUGAAUCAACCAGGUACUCUGAAACUUUUGCUGCAACCGAAACAACAAUUUCUACCAUUUUCUACCUGCUACUCCUUUCUUCUCUUUUGGAACACGAUCAGAUCGAUGACAGAAAACCAAAAAAAACAGCAGCAGUAAACUAACAACAGGCUGCUAGCUACGGGAAUCGGUGUCGCAAAAACAGAAAUCAAGGAAAUUGAAAGGUUUAGCAAGCAAAGGAGCAGAGCGACAUAGACAUAUGGGCAAAAUGAGAAUGAAAUGAGUAGAGAAGAUCAGAAUGAGUAUGAGGGUGGGGAGAGUUGCAAACGAUCUGGCAAAGGGCUAUGGAGGGGAAUAGAGAGAAAAAGCAUAUGGCUGCUAUUGGAUUCAACUUGAAGAACAGAAGCAGAGAUGUUAAGGCUGAUGAUGUGAGAAAGGAAACAAGUAAAUGAAAGAUUUCAGCAAUCAAAUGUGAAGAAAGCUCUCACCCAGCAAAAUGAAAAUGAAAAUCCCUAGCGAGAAUGAGGAUGAAAAUGUAGAGUCACGAGACGAAGCUCGUACAAGGCCCUCAAUCAUUCAAAGUUGAAACAGAAACCCAAACCAGGUCAUCAAUUGUGUUUUGAAUUACUGAUUAGAGUAAAAAUCAAAAUCAAAAUCAAAAUUCAUUUUUAUAAAAACAAAAACUCAUCCUUCUUAACUUAUUCUUAUUAUUUGAAUGUAUAUCAAAUAUUUGAUGAGUAUGUUAUCAUAUUUGCAGUUUCUAAUAAUAAAUUGAUAUCUUUGAAUAUUUGGGUUAACCAAAGUAUAAUUGGUUUAAGGUUUUAUUGGCAUCAUGAAAAAGUUGAAAAAUAAUAGAAAACCAAAAGGUAAAAAAUUAUAAAAUAUAAAAUUAAAAUAUUCUAAAAGAAAAUUCUAUAUAAUAAAGAUUAUUUAAAUGUUUAUACAUUUUUAAUCUUUUCAUAAUUUAUUUAAAAAGAAGUAAGAAAAGAAAGUUACACUCACAGUGUUUUUCCUUUUCUCAUAAUUUAUUUAAAUAUUUCAAGAUCCAAAAAAGAAUAAAUAGUCAAAAUUGUAUUAAUUGGUUUAUCAUCUAAGUAUGAAAAAAAAAUCAAAUAUAAUAAAAAUUAAUUUAAAAAUUAAACAUUUUCAAAAUUUUAUUUUUUUGUAAAUAAAAUAAAAAAUAAAUAUAAUAAAACCUUGAUAAAUAAAUUCUCUAUCAAUUAAUAAUCUUAUUUAAAUAAUAAAAUCUUUAAUCCAAUCGGAUUGGUUUAUUAAAUAAAUAAACUACCAAAUAGAUUGGUUAAUGAAAUUUAAAAAAAAAUCUUAAGCGACCAUGUAUAGAAAAUCAAGAAGACAACCUCUUAUACUUGUCAAAUUUUAUUAAAUUUUUUUGAAGUUUAUUAAUUUUUUUGUUAUUUUUUGUUGAUAAAAAAUUUAGAGGGAAAAAUAAAAUGAAAGAAAAAAAAAAUAAUAAAUUAGUUUUAUAUAUUAUUUCACAUUUAUCUAAUUAAAAUUUAACUUUUUAUAUCAAAAUUAAAUAAUUUUAAAAUAUAUGAGUUUUAAAUCAAUUUUAUAUUAUAUUUUAUAGUAAAAUUAAAUAUGGAAAUAAUAUUUUUUAUUAAUUUUUUAAAACCGUAUUAGUUUAUGAAUAUUAAGAGAGGGAGAGAGUCCUAUCCAAUAGGCAUUGUUAGAGAGAAUAUGACAUGGUCCUGUCAUAAAAAAAGAAAAGGACGGAAAAUGACAGGGUUUAUCGUAUCAAAGAAAAAAAAUCAUACCAAUAAAUUUUGAGUUAGAAAUCGGGGUAAAAGGGGUUACUUCGAAGAAACUUUACAAUCUCAUAUAUGUAUAAAUGUUUGUUGAACUUUUUGUAAGUAAUUUUCAUAUUAAAUAAAUAAACUACUAAAUAAAUAGAUAAGUUAACAAAUUUUUUAGAAAUCCUUAAGUGACACUAUCUAUAGAAAAUUAUGAGGACACCAUUUUAUACUUGUUACGUUUUAUUAAAAUUUUCAAAGUUUAUUAAUUUUAGGUUUUUUCUAUUUGUGACAAUUUUAAAGGAAAUAAAAUAAAGAGUAAAAAUAGGAAGAAAGUAAAAAAUAAAAAAUAAAAAAAUAAAUUAUUUUUAUAUAUUAUUUCAACUUUUUAUAUAAAGAUUAAAUAAUUUUAAAAUAUAUUAGUUUUAAUAAAUUUUAAUUAUAUUUAAUUUUCUAUUACAUUUUUUUAUGGUAAAAUCAAAUAUGAAAAAUAUUUUUUUUAUUGGUUUUCUAAAAGUUUAUUAGGGUGUGUUUGACACUAUUUUUAUUCGAAAUGUUUUUAUGUAAUUUUUUUUUAAAGUAUUUUUAGAAGAAUCACUUAUCAAAUGUUUUUUCAAAAAAACUUUACAAGUGAUUUUUUUAAUUUUUUAAAAGUGUUUCCUAAAUUUUGAAAAAUGUUUUUUUUUUUCUAAAAACACUUUUUAUGCUAAGAAACACUUUUAUGCUAAAAAUGGUUUUAAAAAACACUUUUAUGUUAAAAGCAUUUUUUCAAAACAUUGCAAUACGAACUCUUAGUUUAUGAAUAUUGAGAGAGAGUCUUAUCCUACCAAAAAGAAAAUGAGAAAAAUGACAUAUUCCUAUCAUAUCAAAAGGAAAAAUAAAAAGAGAAAAUGACAUUGUUGGAGAAAGAGACCACAACAAUAAUUCAUAUUGAGAGAUAUUGAGUUGAAAAUCAAUCUCUAUACAAAAAAAAAAAAAAAAAAAAAAAAAGAGAUAGAGAGAAAAAAAUGACAUUGUUGGAGAAAGGGUCCAUAGCAAUAAUUCAUACUGAUGGAUAUUGAGUUAAUCAUUCUCUUAGGCACAAAGGAGGCUCCAAAAUAAAAAAUAAAAUGACAUUGUUAGAGAAAGUGCAAUAAUUCAUACUAAUAGAUAUUGAGUUGAAAAGCAAUCUUUUAGGCACAAAGGAGGCUCCAAAAGAAAAAAAAAUGACAUUGUUGGAGAAAGGGAUCCACAGUAAUAAUUCCUAUUGAUAGGGAAAAAAAAUGACAUUGUUGGAAUAGAUAUUGAGUUGAAAAUCAAUCUUUUAGUCACAAAGGAAGCUUGAAAAAAAUAAUUCAAAUGACAUUGUUGGAGAAAGGGGUUCACAACAAUAAUUCAUACUAAUAGAUAAUGAAUUGGAAACCAAUCUCUUUGGCAUAAAGGAGCCCCCAAAAAAGAAAAACAAAAAACAAAACAAAAUGACAAAAUAACAUUGUUGGAGAAAAAAAAUAAAAAAAGAGAGAAAAUGACACCGCCGGAAAAGGACCCACAACAAUAAUUCAUAUCAAUAGAUGUUGAGUUGAAAACCAAUCUCUUUCUCCCAAAGGAGGCUCCAAAAGAGAAAAAUAAAACAAAACAAAAAUGACAUUGUUGGAUAAAGAGGUCCACAAUAAUAAUUCAUACUAAUACUUAUUGAGUUGGAAACCAAUUUCUUUCACACAAAGAAGGCUCCAAAAGAGAAAACAAAAAACAAAAAGAUUAAAACAAAACAAAAAAAAAAACAAAAAAAAUGACAUUGUUGAAGAAAGGGAUCCACAACAAUAAUUCAUACCAAUAAAUAUUGAGUUGAAAAUCAAUCUAUUUCUCACAAAAAAGGCUCCAAAAGAGAAAAACAAAAUAAAACAAAAAUGAUAUUGUUGGAGAAAGAGGUACACAACAAUAAUUCAUAUUAAUACAUAUUGAGUUGGAAACCGAUUUCUUUAGCACAAAGGAGGCUCCAAAAAAGAAAACAAAAUAAAAAUAAAAAUAAAAUAAAAUAACAUUGUUGGAGAAAGGGAUCCACAACAAUAAUCCAUACUAAUACAUAUUAAGUUGAAAACCAAUCUCUUUCUCACAAAGGAGGCUCCAAAAGAGAAAAACAAAAAAAAAACAAAAGAAAAAUGACAUUGUUGGAGAAAGAGGUCCACAACAAUAAUUCAUACUGAUACAGAUUGAGUUGGACACCAAUUUCUUUGGCACAAAGGAGGCUUCAAAAGAGAAAAACAAUAGACAAAAAGACAAAAAAAAAAAAUGACAAUAUUGUUGGAGAAAGGGAUCCACAACAAUAAUUAAUGCCAAUAAAUAUUAAGUUGAAAACCAAUCUCUUUCUCCCAAAGGAGGCUCCAAAAGAGAAAAACAAAACAAAAAUGAUAUUGUUGGAGAAAAAGGUUCACAACAAUAAUUCAUACUAAUACAUAUUGAGUUGGAAACCAAUUUCUUUAGCACAAAAGAGGCUCCAAAAGAAAAAACAAAAAGCAUAAAAAAAAAAUGACAUUGUUGGAGAUAGGGAUCCACAACAAUAAUCCAUACUAAUAGAUAUUGAGUUGAAAACAAAUCUCUUUCUCACAAAGAAGGCUCCAAAAGACAAAAACAAAACAAAACAAAAAUAACAUUGUUGGAGAAAGAGGUCCACAAGAAUAAUUCAUACUAAUACAUAAUGAGUUGGAAACCAAUUUCUUUCGCACAAAGGAGGCUCCAAAAGAGAAAAAAAACAAAAAAAAAAAAACAAAACAAAACAAAAAAAGACAAAAAAAAAUUACAUUAUUGGAAAAAUGGAUCCACAACAAUAAUUCAUACAAAUAAAAAUUGAGUUGAAAACCAAUCUCUUUCUUACAAAUGAGGCUCCAAAAGAUAAAAACAAAACAAAAAUGAUGUUGUUAGAGAAAGAGGUCCACAAAAAUAAUUCAUACUAAUACAUAUGGAGUUGGAAACCAAUUUUUUUUAGCACAAAGGGGGCUUCAAAAGAGAAAACAAAAAGACAAAACAAAAAAAGAAAAAAAAAAUCACAUUGUUGGAGAAAGGGAUCGACAACAGUAAUCCAUACUAAUAGAUAUUGAGUUGAAAACCAAUCUAUUUAUCACAAAGGAGGCUCCAAAAGAAUAAAAUAAAACAAAACAAAACAAAAAUGACAUUGUUAGAGAAAGAGUUCUACAACAAUAAUUCAUACUAAUAAAUAUUGAGUUGGAAACCAAUUUCUUUGGCACAAAGGAGACUUCAAAAGAGAAAAACAAUAGACAGAAAGAAUAAAAGAAAAGAAAAAGGAAAAAAUGACAAUAUUGUUGGAGAAAGGGAUCCAUAACAAUAAUUUAUACCAAUAAAUGUUGAGUUGAAAAUCAAUCUUUUUCUCACGUUGGAGGCUCCAAAAGAGAAACAAAAUAAAACAAAAAUGAUAUUGUUGGAAAAAGAGGUCUACAACAAUAAUUCAUACUAAUACAUAUUGAGUUGGAAACCAAUUUCUUUAGCACAAAAGAGACUCCAAAAAAGAAAAAAAAAAUAAAAUAACAUUGUUGGAGAAAGGGAUCCACAACAAUAAUCCAUACUAAUAGAUAUUGAGUUGAAAACCAAUCUCUUUCUCACAAAGGAGGCUCCAAAAGAGAAAAACAAAAUAAAACAAAACAAAACAAAAAUGGCAUUUUUGGAGAAAGAGGUCCACAACAAUAAUUCAUACUAAUACAUAUUGAGUUGGAAACCAAUUUCUUUAGCACAAAAGAGGCUCCAAAAGAGAAAAAAAAAAUUACAUUGUUGGAAAAAUGAAUCCACAACAAUCAUUCAUACCAAUAAAUAUUGAGUUGAAAACCAAUCUCUUUCUUACAAAGGGGGCUCCAAAAGAGAAAACAAAAAGAGAAAACAAAAAAAGAAAAAAAAAUCACAUUGUUGGAGAAAGGGAUCAACAACAGUAAUCCAUACUAAUAGAUAUUGAGUUGAAAACCAAUCUAUUUAUCACAAAGGAGGCUCCAAAAGAGUAAAAUAAAACAAAACAAAACAAAAAUGACAUUGUUAGAGAAAGAGGUCUACAACAAUAAUUCAUACUAAGAAAUAUUGAGUUGGAAAUUAAUUUCUUUGGCACAAAGGAGACUCCAAAAGACAAAAACAAAAGACAAAAAAAAUAAAAAAAAAUAGAGAGAGAAAAUGACAUUGUUGGAGAAAGGGAUCCACAACAAUAAUUCAUACCAAUAGAUAUUGAGCUUAAAAUCAAUUUCUUUCUCACAAAGGAGGCUCCAAAAGAGAAAAAUAAAACAAAACAAAAAUGACAUUGUUGGAGAAAGAGGUUCACAACAAUAAUUCAUACUAAUACAUAUUGAGUUGGAAACGAAUUUGUUUGGCACAAAGGAGACUUCAAAAGAGAAAAAAAAAUAGAUAGAAAGACAAAAAAAAAAAAAAAAUGACAAUAUUGUUGGAGAAAGUGAUCCACAACAAUAAUUCAUGCCAAUAAAUAUUAAGUUGAAAACAAAUCUCUUUCUCCCAAAGGAGGCUCCAAAAGAGAAAAACAAAAAUGAUAUUAUUGGAGAAAGAGGUCUACAACAAUAAUUCGUACUAAUACAUAUUGAGUUGGAAACCAAUUUCUUUAGCACAAAAGAGACUCCAAAAGAAAAAACAAAAAACAAAAAGACAAAACAAAAAGCAUAAAAAAAAUGACAUUGUUGGAGAAAGGGAUCCACAACAAUAAUUCAUACUAAUAGAUAUUGAGUUGAAAACCAAUCUCAUAAAGGAGGCUCCAAAAGAGAAACAAAAUAACACAAAACAAAACAAAAACGACAUUGUUGGAGAAAGAAGUCUACAACAAUAAUUCAUAUUAAUACAUAUUGAGUUGGAAACCAAUUUGUUUAGCACAAAGGAGGCUCCAAAAGAGAAAACAAAAAGACAAAACAAAAAAAAAAAAGAAAAAAAAAUGACAUUGUUGGAGAAAGGGAUCCACAAUAAUGAUCCAUACUAAUAAAUAUUGAGUUGAAAACCAAUCUCUUUCUCACAAAGGAGGCUCCAAAAGAGAACAACAAAACAAAAAUGACAUUGUUAGAGAAAGGGAUCCACAACAAUAAUUCAUACCAAUAGAUAUUGAGUUGAAAACCAAUCUCUUUCUCACAAAGGAGGCUUCAAAAGAGAAAAAUAAAACAAAACAAAAAGGACAUUGUUAGAGAAAGAGGUUCACAAGAAUAAUUCAUACUAAUACAUAUUGAGUUGGAAACCAAUUUCUUUGGCACAAAGGAGGCUCUAAAAGAAAAAAAAAAAAAAAAAAAAACCAAACAAAAAAAAAAAAAAAUGGCAUUGUUGGAGAAAGGGAUCCACAACAAUAAUUCAUACUAAUAGACAUUGAGUUGGAAACAAAUCUCUUUGGCACAAAGGAGGCUUUGAAAGAGAAAAAAAUAAUAAUAAUAAUAGAAAAUGACAUUUUUGGAGAAAGGGUUCCACAAUAAUAAUUCAUAUUGAUAGGUAUUAAGUUAGAAACCAAUCUCUUUAGCACAAAGGAGGCUCCAAAAACCAUCUUUAUUUAUUAGAAUUUUUGAAAAUCUUUGUACUACUUUAGCAAGAGGAAGAAUGAAGGUUGAUGAUAUAUAUUUUAUUUACAUCAAUGCGUAAUUCAAUUACUGGUACUUGAUAUUUGAUUACACAAAAGUAUUGUUUGAUUUAUUAAAAAUAAAAAACAUUACAUAAAAAAUAAAGGAAGAAAUAAAUUUGAAGAAUCAUAUAAAUUUUGUCAAUUUCAAACCUAAUUUUAUUGAUUUUUAUUUUCUUUUAUAUUUUGUUUUGAUUUUAAUUUUUCUCAAAUUAUUUUAAAAUCUAAAUAAAUUCAAAAGACUUUCUAAGAAAAACCCAUUAUGUUAUUAGCUUAUGUUUGAUAUUUAGUACAUGCUAAGAAAAAGGGGAAAAUGUUAAAAAUAUGAUUUUCUCAUAUUUAAUUUUACCAUGAAAAAUAUAUUAAAAAAUUAAAUAUAAUUAUAAUUAGUUGAAAACUCAUGUUUUUUUAAAUCAUUUAAUUUUUAUGUAGAAGAGUUAAAAUAAGUGGUCAGAUAUAACAUAUAAAGCAUAGAAAAAAUCAUGUAUAAGUUUAAAUCUAUUUUUUUUUUAUUUUUCUACAUUUUUUCCCUCUCAUUUUCCCUCAAAGUUUUUAGGAAUCAAACAUAGUCUUAAGGAAAGAAAAUAUUAAAGAAAUGAUUUUUUUCAUGUUUGAUUAUACAGUAGAAAAUACCAAAGAAAAUGAAAUAUAAUUAAAUUUAGGUAAAAAGUCAUCUAUUUUCAAACUAUUUAAUAUCUAUAUAGAUUAAGAGUUAAAACAAGUGAAAUAAAUUUGAUUUUUCACUUUUAUUUCCUUUUACUUUUCUUCUCUAUUUUUUUCCUCUUAAAUUUUAAAGAAAAUAAACAUAACCUAAAAGAUAAAAGGAAAAUAUUUUUUAGGCAAAAUGAGACCAUCUAUUGUCCAAAAUGAAAAUCCAAAGGUAGCCAUUGCAAGAGUCUUCUUGCAUAAAACUUAGAAUAUACAAAUAAGGAUUUGGAGUACAUAAGAUGUAAUAAGUUGUCCCCAAUUUGUAAUUUUAUACACACACAUAGAGACACACACACAAAAACACACACGUCUAACACACAAAAAAAAAAUGUUAAAAAUUUUAAGUGUUAGAAAGAUUGUAAGGGCUUAAAAUCACUACUAAAUGAAUUCAACCAAUGCUUUGAGGCAAAGUCCUUCUCACAAUGGAAAAUGGAUCCAAAGAAAUGUCCUAUGUAAUUAGAAUUUCUUUUAGUACGUGACCUAACGUCACAUAACAUCAUAUAGCAAAUUAAAGUUAGAAACAAAACCCUAAUUCUUUAAAAUAUCUCAAGUUUUCUGGGUCGCGUAUAUUUCUUAAACGUGAUGUUUGAUUAUCAGAAAGUAUUAAAGAAAGAAGAAAAAUAUUAAAGAAAUUAUAUAUAUAAAUGGGUUUCAUGUUGGAUAUAGAAAAAAUAAAAUAUAAUUAAAAUUAGUUAGAAAUUUACAUAUUUUAAAAUUAUUUAGACUAUGUUCAAUUUCUAAAAAAUUUAAGAAAAAAUAUGAAGGAAAAAAAUAAAAAGGAAAGUGAAUGAAAAGAAAAAUGAGGAAAAAAAAGAUUUAAAAUUAAUAAAUUAUUUUUUAUAUACUACAUAAAAAGGCUUCUGCAAAUAGAAAAACAAAUACCUCUCUACACCAAAAUGAAAAUGGAGAAUAGGAGUUGCACUGUAGAGAGUCUAGAAAGAAAGGUCAAACCAUGCAUCUCUACCAUUGAAAGUUCAACCUAAAGCAAAACCCACUCUUGGAUUGUGUUUUCAUUUGUCAAUUAGAUUAGGGUAUACUUGAAAGUUUGAUUUACCAUGAUGUUAAACAGAGAUAUAAUAAAAAUUAAUUAAAAUUUCAAACAUUUUAAAUUAUUUAUUCUUUGUAUAAAAGAUAAAAAAGAAAAGAAAAGGAAAAUAGGUUUUAAAAAUUAGAAAAAUUUAUUAAAUUUAAUCUAAUUUUUUAAUUUUAUUUUUCACAUUUUCCUUCUUAUUUUCUUUCUUACCUUUUUUUCAAUUUGAAUAAAGUUAGAAAAAAAAAAAAGGUUUAGUAUAUGUGUAAGAAAAAAGUAGGAAAAAUGAAAAUUGAAGGAAGAAGGUACUUGUAGUCUAAGCAAAAUGUUUAUGAGUCAAUUUUUAAAGCUUGGUGUAUUUUAGCAAUGGAAGUUGUGAUUUUUAUUACUACCUUUAGAACUUUAUACAAAAAUAUAGAUGAUUUAUAUAAGGAAAAGAAUAAAGAAUAUUCCUAACAUAUAUAUAAAAUAUCCUAAAAUUAAGAUAAUCAAAUACUGUGAGAAUUAAAUAUUGUUAAUAUUUGAUUUCUCUAGAUUUGUGGGAACAAUGAUCGAAAGUGUAUUCCUAUCCUUUAUGCAUUUGAUUUUGUGUAUCUCCUUAAAUAUUUCCUUUAGCAUGUCUCCUCAAGCUAGAAUAGGAAUGGAUAUAGACGUCUAGCAUAUCUAGAAACAUAGUGAAGACAUCCUUUAAUAAAAAUUUGAUAAAAAUAUCAGCAAGUUGAAAAUGUGUGAAAACAUGGUAAGUAACAAGAGUGCCCAUAGUCACCAUCUCUUGUACAAAAUGAUAAUCAAGCUCAAUAUGUUUAGAAUGGACAUGAAACAUAGGAUUAACGAACAUGUAAAAUAGCAUUAUCACAAAAUAAUUGUGGUGGUUCAAAGAGGGGCAUACCGAUAUUUUGUAAGAGAAGUAAUCCAAGUCAACUCGAUAGUAGAAAAAGCCAAAGAGCAAUACUCUACCUCGAUGCUUGAGUGAGCAAUUUUUGGUUGUUUUUUGAAUAUCAAGAGAUGCAAUUUGCUCUAAUGAAGACAUAAUAACCCAUGGUGCUCCUUCUUGUAGUGGGACAACUUGCCCAAUCAACAUUGCUAAACCCAUAAAGAGAUAUUUAGACCAAUGGAAAGAUAACAUAAACCAAAGUGUUAAGUUCCCUUAAGUUAUCUUAAGAUAUGUUUUAAGCCUUCAAGUGAGUCACAAUAAGGUUAAUAAAAUACUAACAUACUCGAUUAACUGUAUGAAUAAUAUCACUUUCCCCUAUGUUAAACAUGUUUGUUUCCUACAACAUUUAUUGCCUAUAAUAGGAAGAUGAUAUCGAGUAAAUAAACUUAAUAACUUAAUAUGAUUUAAUAAUUUAAUUUAAGUCAUUAAGUAGAAUAUGAAUGUUUGGUAAAAUAACUUAUAUUACAACUUAAAGUUAUUUUAAACUUUAAGUAUGAAGUCCAAAUAAUUAACUUAGUGGGUGUUUGCUAAAAUUUAAUAUUUAUUACUUAAUGACUUAAAUUGACUAUAAGUGAAAUUAUUUUUAAGUUGUUAACAUAAAACUUAUUACUUAUUUUUUAUUUAAGAAUCAAGGUUAUUUGGUAAAGUUAACUUAAAACUUAUUUUAAAUCAUCAAAUUUACACAUUUACUCUCACUAAUUUUGACUAAUAUUUAUCCUCAUUGAUUUUAAUUCAUAUUGAUUUUUAUUAAUUUUAAUAAAUAAAUUUAUUUAUGAAACAUCCAUAUUUAAAGUAUUGUAGAUAUAUGAGAUAACCAUAAAAUAUUUAUUAUAAAAAUUGAGUCAUAGAUGUAGAAUCAUAAUUAUUAAAUAUAUUCUUAUUAGUAUGGGCAAAUGAGACAAAAAGAAUUUAAGAUAAAGAAGGAUGUAUGGUAUAUCAACUUAAUGACUUAAUAUGACUUAAUAACUUAAUUUAAGUCAUCAAGUGGAUUAAUAAUGUUUGGUAAAAUAACAUAAUAUUGUAACUUAAGGUUAUUUUUAACUUCAAAUAUUAAGUAAAAAAGAAUAAAUGGAAUUCUCUUAAAAAGGAUUGACAACUUUAACAUGCUUUGAUUGGGAAAAAUAUUGACCUUAGUGGAAUCUUAUGAGGCAAAAUAUGAAUGCUUGAAACGAGUGAUGGGAUAAGAAACUGAAGGUGCAUUUUUAUUUAUUUAUUAAGUCUAUUCGAUUAAUUAAUUUGGAUGUUGGUUGUAAAAUAUAAUAAAUUGAAUACUUUUGUCAAACCCUGAAGCAAUGAUGUUUAAGACAAAGGGUUUUACAAUAUUGAGCAAUUCAUGGGCAUACUUUCAAAGAUAUUAUUGUUAUUGGUGAAGGAGUUUGGUACCAUCACAAGACUUUGUAGGUUAUGAUGUUGAUGGUCCAUCUAAAGUGGAGGAACACGAGGACAAUUUAGUAAAAGGCUAAGGGGACUCUAGUUGUAUUCGUUGCUUAAUAAUAUUUUCCAUAAUUUUGAAGCCAGUGCCUAACGAAUUGUUAAAAAAAAAAAAAAAAAAGUGAGAAGAAAUAUGAAAUAGAUAGAACCAAAACUGAGGUUAUGGCUAUGUAAUUAAAGCAUUUAUAGUGUUGUAGAGGUCUUCUAUCAUAGGGCAAAUAAGCCUGGCUAUAGCAUUACUGAAAUAAUGAAAAAUUAUACAUGUCAUGCCUAAAAUGAACAAUGACGUUGAGUUGUAUAUGAAAGUCAAAGAGAUCCUUGUUGUCAAAUAAAAUAGAGAGAUGUUUGUUGCAUUGGAAGACCUAGCUAAUGAGAUUGCAUGGCUUUGACUGUUAGAGUUGUUUCUUGUUCUAAUGUUGAUUUUGUUACUUAAUAUUGUUUUAGAUUUGAUUAGUUUGUUUCUAUUGAGUAAUAUUUUCGAACGUAAGUCAUAUACUUAAUAUUGUUCUAGUUUGAACUAUUAUGUUUCUUUAACUUGCAAAAGCCGGCUAUAAUGAUUAGUUCAUUCUUGCUUCUAGGUGUUGUUCUACAUGGGAUUUUAGAAAUUACUUUGAAGAAACUUUACAAUCUCAUAUAUGUAUAAAAAGUUAUCAUGUCAUUUCCAAACCAUCAUGGUCCCACCCAUUGAAAGCCUGUCACCUCCUAUUUUAAAUUGUUUUCCCUUACUUUCCUUUUUCUAUUUUUUUAUUUUGGCUUUGGUCAAGGGCAAGGAAUCUUCACAGUUUCUAGCUUGGUUGUAUAUUUGCUCAAAGCUUUAAUGCCCAAUUCAACAUGGUCCUUUUUUUUUUAGGUUGUGAUAUUCUUGAUAAAAAAAUGAAUGCAAAACUUGAUGAUGAUUAAGUGUUACUUUUAGCAAAGGAAGAAGAGAGUAAAGUGGAUGUACUUAUUGGAAAGAUGGUGUAAUCAUGUAAUAGAAAGGAAAAUUGUUUUCUUGUUUGCUUUUUGUCAGUUAAGCUUUUUAGAUAAAUUAAGCUAAUAUGUAAUUAUGUACUUUAUUUUGCUUUGAAAAAUUAUUAUCUUAUGAUAAAUGUUUGUUAUAAUUUAGAUAUUUCUAUAAGUAAUUUUCAAACUUUUCUUCUUGUUAUAAAAUUAUUAUUUUCUAAUAAUACAAAUAUUUAGAUAUUAUUUGUAUUCUUUUCUCACGGACAAAAUAUUGGUUUAAUAUAAUUUUCCCUUUUAUAAUGAAUUUUAUGUCUUUUUUUUAUAGUUUAUUAAUAUUAAAAGCAUUUUUAUUUUUAUGUGGUGUAUUAUAAAAAAAUACUAUCAAAACCACUUUCAUUAUUCUCAUAAAAGCAUUAUAAACAAAAGCACUAUAGAUUAAAAGUACUUUUGUGAGAAUUACCAUCAAACGGGUGAUUAAGAAUAUGUUGGAUAGUAUUUUUACUCGAAGUAUUUUUAGUGAAAGUAUUCUCUUUGAAAGCAUUUUUAAGAGAAUCACACAUCAAAUAUCUCCUAAAAAAUACUACAAGUGAUUUUUUAAUACUAUAAGUGAUUUUUCAAAUUUUAGAAAUUGUUCCUAAACUUUUGCCAAACACCUUUCUUUUUUUUUUUUUUUAAAAAAAAAAAAGACUUUUAUGCUAAAAGUGUUUCCUAUAAUCACUAUCAAAUGAAUUUCAAAUGCCUUUCAAAACAAAAUUGUCAACUUUACCCAUGCUAGUAAACUAAAACUAACAAAUUCUUUGUUAAAUAGAUCUAAAUUUAAUCAAGUGUUCUAACUUCAAUCCAACCCGAUUUGAUCAUAUGCACAAUCUACCAAUUUGUACCAACCUGAUCAAAUUUGAAUAUAUAAAUGUAAUAAAAUGAAAUCCAAUUUCAAUCCAAGUUCAGAAAAAUGGAUAGAAUUGGGGUUUUAUUGGACAACUUAGGUUGAGAACAGGGCCUCACUCAAAUGCGUAUCAAGUUAGAUUGAACUCGGUUGAUUCUUGAAGUGGCAAGAGAAAUGAAAAGACAAAGAUUAAAAAACAAUAAGUCUUUCUUAAAACAGCCAGUGAAUGUGGUCAUUCAAUUUGGAAAUCUUCGGCCAAACAUCCAGUAAACAAACAUUUAUCCAUACUUUCACCAAGACUUAUGGCAACAAAUUAAAAUGCUGAAUCCUUUGUGAAGAAAAAUCCUUGGUUAGCAUUUGGACUCCCCAAGGAAAUGAAGAACAUGGAAGCCACAGUUGUAAUAGCAGCAGCUACAGUUGUAAUAUCAGUUUGAUGUGAUGAUUUUUCAAACAUUUUGUAAUAAUUGAUGAAAACAGCCGCUACUGUAAAUUUCAGCAGAAACUCGGAUUAAUCAUGACAGGGAAACCAUUAAAUUUCCAUAAUAUAUUCAGAAAUUCCCUGAGAAUUCCUCCAAAGUUCCUGCACUGAAGGAUUAGGGAGCUCAGAUUCAUGAGAAAAUUCAAAAAAGUCGUUAGAGGCUUUAUAUCUGGGCAUCCAUAGUCUAAAUUAAGGAAAGAUCUCCAUAAAAACAACCACAAAAUAUAAACUCUACCAACUCGGUUUUGUCGUCCCA
This 62828-nucleotide long non-coding RNA is filed under the name Vitis vinifera (wine grape). RNAcentral describes it as "long non-coding RNA (VVIN_LNC004554)". Lineage: Eukaryota; Viridiplantae; Streptophyta; Magnoliopsida; Vitales; Vitaceae. The record is from RNAcentral.